RNAcentral lists this long non-coding RNA (70735 nucleotides) under Triticum aestivum (bread wheat). RNAcentral's name for it is "long non-coding RNA (TAES_LNC028401)". The stretch from base 36183 to 36316 matches the Rfam family "MIR1120/MIR1122 microRNA precursor family". Lineage: Eukaryota; Viridiplantae; Streptophyta; Magnoliopsida; Poales; Poaceae. The record is from RNAcentral.
CAACCCCAACAGGUUCAGACACACACACCCAAGUAGCACAACAAAGUCAAAAGGUACUGCUGAGGGCACAGCUCAACAAGCCCAAAGAAACAGAAAAGGAAACCGGGCGAGGCCGGGCGAGAGACCCACGGAGGGGGCUAGUCAGGCUCCGGCGGAGGGGGCGGCGGCGGCGGCGACAGGCGGACGGCCAUCGUGCGGAGGUCGGCGAUGAAGGCGGAGAUGGCGUUGCGCUCCAGGAGACGGCUAAGCGGCCGCCAAAGCUGCAGGAAACCCGAGAAUUUGUAGAGAGCGUCAGUAGCACGACGAAUCGGAGUGCGCUCAAUCACAAGCUUAUUACGAACAGUCCAAAGAGUCCAGGCUAGGGUCCCAACCUCCAGCCACCUAAUGUGGCGGGAGGACGGGGGGGACGCUUGGAGUUCAGCAAAAAGGUCGGGGAAGUUGGUGUGAGUCCAAUUUCCGCCGACAAGCUCGCGAAAACAGCUCCAGAGGAACUGGGCAGAGGUGCAAGCGAAGAAGAUGUGGUUAGAAUCCUCGGGGACGGCACAGAGGGGGCAGAGACCAGAACCCGGGCCAUUACGCUUGCGGACCUCCACACCGGAGGGGAUCCGUCCCCGGAUCCACUGCCACAUGAAGAUACGGAUCUUCAGAGGGAGGCGGACGGACCAAACCAUUGAGAGGGGGGGAGGGGCGGCGGAGGGGGUAAUGACCGCAUAGAGCAAUUUGGUAGAGAACUGGACAGACGGCUCCAAAUGCCAUCGAACACGGUCUUGGACGCCGUCAACCAGCGGCUCAUGAAGAGCGACGCACUCAAGAAGCUCACGCCAGGCGGCGGAUUCCGUAGGCCCAAAUGGCCGACGGAAAGCGAGGCGCCCUAAGUCAAAUAGGGCCCUAUCAACAGAGAUCAUGGGGUCGACAGAGAUAGCAAAGAGAAUGGGGAAGCGAGCCGCAAAGGGGGCGUCAUCGGCCCUACGGUCAUACCAGAAUAACGUCGAACGGCCAGAUCCUACCGAGAUAGAGGUACCAAUGCGGAGCACAGGGAGGAGCUGGACAAGGGACUGCCAGAACUGAGAGCCACCCGACUUCUGGCAGAAGGCAAGGGGUUGGCCGCGCAGGUAUUUAUUCCGGAUAAUGUCCAGCCAGAGGCCCCCGUGGCCCUGCGAGAUGCGCCACAGCCAUCGGGAGAGGAGGGCAAUAUUCAUCCGUUUGGAGCACAUGAUCCCCAAACCCCCCUGCUCCCUCGGCUUGCAGAUGUCAGGCCAGCUGACCAUGUGAUACUUCUGCUUGCCGUGCUCCCCAGCCCAAUAGAAGCGGGACUGGAUUUUGGCGAUCUCCUUAUGAAGAGAAUCGUGAAGGCUGUAGAGACUCAUAAGAAAUAAGAGGAGACUGGAGAGGGAGGAGUUGAUAAGAAUAGUCCUGGCCGCCUUGGACAGCCACCUCCCCUGCCAAGGCUCGCAUCUAGUCUGGAGCUUGGUCACGGAGGGGCGAAGAUCGGCGGCCAGGAGGCGCGAGUGACUGAUGGGCGUCCCCAGAUAGGUAGAAGGAAACGAGCCCAAGCGGCAAUUGAGUCUAUUGGCAAUGGCCACUGACUCCUCGGGAGAGUAUCCCAUCACCAUAACAUCGCUCUUAUCAAAAUUGAUCUUGAGGCCCGACAUCUGCUGAAAGCAAAGGAGGAGGAAUUUGAGAUUGGCGAUGUCCAUCUCCGAGCCUUCGACCAUGAUGAUCGUGUCGUCCGCAUACUGGAGGAUGGAGAUCCCCGCGUCCCCGGAGAGAUGGGGGGCGAUGCCUCGGAGGUGGCCCGCAGCUUUCGCCUUAUCGAGAAUGGAAGCCAAAGCGUCCACGACCAUGUUGAAGAGGAACGGGGAGAAGGGGUCGCCUUGGCGCACCCCACAAAGGGUAGGGAAGAAGGGACCAAUUUCGCCAUUAAUAUUGACCGCCGUGCGACCGCAAGAGACCAUUUGCAUGACUCUCGUGAUCCAUUGGUCGUCAAAUCCCUUGCGCAGAAGGACUUCCCGAAGGAAGGGCCAGCUAACCGUGUCAUAAGCUUUGUGAAAAUCGAUCUUCAGAAAGACCGCCUUCAGGUGUUUGACCCGGACCUCAUGAAGAACCUCGUGCAGGACCAAGACCCCAUCAAGGAUGAACCGACCCUGAAUGAACGCCGACUGAUUAGGGUGAGUGAUCCGGUCGGCCAGCAGGGUCACCCUAUUGGCGUACCCUUUGGCCAAGAUCCGGAAGAUCACGUUUAUGACCGUAAUCGGGCGGAACUGGCGGAUGUCAGUCGCCCCAGGGACCUUGGGAAUGAGGGAGAUGGUCCCAAAGUUGAGGCGGCCAAGGUCGAUCGAGCCCACGAAGAAUUCCUCGAAAAUGGCCAUGAUCUCGGGUUUGACCACGCUCCAGAAGGUUUGGAAGAAGAGAACCGGGAGGCCGUCCGGGCCCGGCGCCGAGGAGGGAUUCAUACCCUUGAUAGCCUCCCAGACCUCUUGUACAGAGAAGGGGGCCGUCAAGGUGGCAUUGUCUUCGUCAGAGACUAGACGGUCGCUGGUCCAGCAGUCAAAGGCAAGAGAGAGGCCGCUCCGAGGAGCGGGGGAGAAGAGGGAGCGAUAGAAGCCAUCAACAUGGGCGCGGAUAUCUCGGGGAUCCUGAAGGAGAGUGGCUCCCUCCCAAAGGCAGGAGAUGGUGUUGCGUCUACGGCGCCCAUUUGCGAUCACCUGGAAGUAGGCCGUAUUCGCAUCCCCCUUCAAGACCCAACGUUGGGCGCCCCGAAUGCGCCAAUAAGCCUCCUCAUCAGAGUAAAUCACGGAGAGCUGGUCCUCGAGGUCAUAACGGGACAUCCACUCGUCAGGAGAGAGACCGAUCGCAUCAGCCCUGAAGUCGAGGUCCUGGAUCGCCGACAGGAGAGCCUUCUUCCGCUCCCUGGAGUCUCUUCCCAGGUUGGCUCCCCACCCCUUCAUAAAUUGUCGGGCACGCUUCGCACAGAAGUGCCACGCAUCUAUGGCGGAAGGGGGGCGGGGGUGGGGAUGGCCACGAGCCUCGAUCCAACGAGCACUGACAGCGUCGGAGAAUCCGGCCUGGGAGAGCCAGACAGCCUCAAAACGGAACCGAGGGGGAAUCGGGGGGCGCUCAUCCGCGGAGGAGAGAAGCAGGGGAACGUGGUCAGACCCAAUCCGGGUGACGGCAUGAAGAGAGGCUAAGGGGCACCGGAGGUCCCACUCGGGGGAAACUAGGACCCUGUCCAAGACGGAGAGGGUCGGGGAGGCUUGGCGGUUGGUCCAAGUAAAACGAGCCCCAACCCGAUCAAGCUCCCUGAGGGCGAGGUCGGCAAUGAAGUCGUUAAACAUGUCCAUCCGGGCAAAACUAACAUUGCCAUUGUUCUUGUCUUCCGCACACCGCAACAGGUUGAAGUCCCCCCCCCCGACAACUACGGGGAGGGAGGCGGCCGAGAUUUUCCGGUGAAGUUCCUCCAGGAAGGAGGCCGACCUACUAUGGUCAGCCGGACCAUAGACGAUGAUGAUCUCCCAUUUGAAAUUGAGAGAUCUCUCAAAGACCUCCAUGCUGACGAAGAAUUCGCCCCGGUCCAUGCUGCCCACCUCAAAGGUGGCAUCCUUCACGCCUAGGAGGAUGCCACCCGAGUGGCCUGCACUCCCACUAGAAGGGAGCCAGUGCCACGCAAAUAGGUGAGAGCUCAGCCGGUUGAGCUCAGGGAGCGCAAAGUCCCGGCGCAUGGUCUCCUGCACGGCCACUAGGUCGAUGCGUUCAUCGCGCAAGUACUGCACUAACUGGCGGCGUCGGCCAUCAUGGCCGAAGCCGCGGAUGUUCCAGAAUAGGGCAUGCGUCAAGGAGCCAUUGGGGGGCUGCUUGACCCCAAGACACGAGACGCGCUGAGAGCGCGGAGGGCCGCCGUGCGGGAGCGGGUGCGACCCCGGAUCACCAGCUCGGCCCCCGAAGGGCGGGGGGCCGCCUGCCGCGUCCGAGGAGGGGGGGAGGGGUCUCUAGGGGGCGCCUGGGCCGGGGGAGGGGGAGCCGCAAGGGCCGCUCGGGCCUCUGCCAGUUUCCCAUCCAGAAUCUCCCGGGCCCGAAUGGCCCCAAUCUGGGCGAGGGGGGGACCCACCUCCCCACGGAAGAUGAUCGCGGAAUCGGCGACCACUUGGGCGAGAUGGCCCAAAGGGACAGAUUCAAGAGCAGAGAAGGAGCAAGACGAAGCAGAAGUAGAAGGGGGGGCGGAGGGCGUACCUGGCUCCAGGUUGCGGGCGGCAGCGCGAAGCUCAGCCCGCUCGGAGAUGGGGAGCGCCGGGUGGCCCGCGGGGUGAGCGGCGUCCAACCGAGCACUCCUGCGUCCGGCGACCACCGGGGAAGAGGCCGACCGGCCGCGGCGGGAGUAGGCGGCAGACCGAGGAGGGGGAGGCUGGGCCACCAGGGGGGUGAUGAUCUGGGCCGCCACCUCCCCAGAGGGCGACGAGGGGGGGGCCACCAAUCCCGGCCCAGCACAGNNNNNNNNNNNNNNNNNNNNNNNNNNNNNNNNNNNNNNNNNNNNNNNNNNNNNNNNNNNNNNNNNNNNNNNNNNNNNNNNNNNNNNNNNNNNNNNNNNNNNNNNNNNNNNNNNNNNNNNNNNNNNNNNNNNNNNNNNNNNNNNNNNNNNNNNNNNNNNNNNNNNNNNNNNNNNNNNNNNNNNNNNNNNNNNNNNNNNNNNNNNNNNNNNNNNNNNNNNNNNNNNNNNNNNNNNNNNNNNNAGGUGGCGAGGAGAUGAUGGAGGCUGGGGGAGGCGAGGCCGGAGGGGGGGGCGUCCGCAGGAGACGGCGACCCACCCUCAGGGGCCGCCGGCGCGGAGGGGAUGGGGCCGCCGGUCGGGUCGACAGGAGCCACCUUCGGAGCCGGGGGAGAGACGGGGGAGCGCGGAGAGGAGGCCGGGCAGACCACCAGGCCGACACUGGAGAUGUCGCUCCCCUCGGACGAUGACCCGUCAGGGAUCGGGGGGUCAUCAGCGGAGGGGCCUGGGGCGGCCUGGCGGCCCUUGCCCCCCGGAGCCGGAGGGGGGGGCGAGGGAGGAGGAGAGUGGGAGUCCUCGGACUCCCCCUCCUCGUCAGAGCAGUGGGAGCGCGAGUGGUGACGGCCGUGGUAGUCUCCGUCGGCCCCCCGGAAGUCGUCUGGGGGACCGACGUCGAGGGAGCGGGGGCGCCCAACGUGGUUGGGCGGCUCGGGGGCGAUCCUGAGGUCGAAGCCCUGGUCGUUGAAGAAGACCCGGACCGAGGUGUGCAGCCUGGUGGAGUCGAGACACUUGACUUUGACCCUGACCUCCUCCUCCUUGCGCAGUGAGAGCUCAUCAACCACCACCACCUUGCCCAAGAGGCGAGACAUCUGGCGGAUGACAAGCUCUGACCGCGCGAUGUCAGGGAGACCGGAGAUGAGGAUCCAAGCGGUGUCGAGGACGGCCACGACCUGGGCGUCGAGAACAGGCUCGGAGAUCUCAACCACCAGUUGGUUGAGGGCGAGGGUGAUCCGGCCACUACGCGUGCCGUAGCCGUAGCUGACGGAGUCGGGGAAGACGACGGAGAAGAUGUGGCUGGCGGUGGGGAUAACCACCCAGUCCCACUGACAACGGUAGAGGUGGUUGAGCUCGGCCUCGAUCAUCUCCGGGGAGGCCACCCCGUCAACGACCGUGACGAUCGCCUGAAGAGAGGGCGAAGGCGGAGGGGCAUCCGGGACCUCAAGGUGGAAGAAGCCCAACCCCUCGAUGUCGUGGCCAUACAUCAUGAGCUCGGACACCACCGGUCUGUCCGGACACAGAAUGGCGGGGUGGCCCGGAUCCUUGCAGAGGUAGCAGCACUGGGGGUUGACACAGGCAACCUGGGAGUGCCCCCUCACCCCACAGUUGAAGCAAGGGGGGCGAGGAAGACCGGAGACGGGGCCCGGAGCGGAGGGGGCCCCCGGACCCGAGGAUGGAGGGAUGGUCGGAGUGGGUCGGGCACCCCGACGCUUCUUCUUCUUGGCGGGGCCAGGGCGGCCGCGGGCGGGAGCGCCCCCAGAGGCCGGACCCGGGGCCGAGGACCCCGAGGCAGCGUGAGGCGGGACGUAGCGGCGGGUGUCCGGAGUGGGGAGGAUGCCAUCACGAACCGGACGGGCGGGGGAGGGGGACCGGUCCCUACGACGGGAGGGCGAGGGGGAGCGCCGGCGGCGCCAGUUGCCCGACGACUCUCGGGGCGAGCGUGACCGGGCCCGGUCAUCCCGACGGGAGGGGGAGCGGCGGCUGUCCCGGAGCUCCCGGAGCUCGCGCCGGAGCUCCUCCUCCCGUCGGAGGGAGUCGGGGGAGGGCCGGGACGAGUCGCGAGAAUCACCCCCCGCUUUGCGCUUCGCCCGGGGAGCCAGGUCCGCCUGGUCGCGCGGCAUGGCGAGCCGCAACCGGGCGGGAGGGGGCAGGGCGAGGCGGGCUACCGGCGUCAGAGAAGCCGCCGGACGGCCAGACGAGGGGGGAGGCGCGGCGAGAGGUGGAUGCGGGGCGAGGGCGGGAGCAGAAGGGGGCGGGGGAUCGGGGCGAGACGAGCCCGAAGCAGGGGAGGCGGCGCGCGAGGGAUGGGCGAGGGAGAGGCUUCGAGGGAGCCAGAAGGCGCUGGCCGGCACCUCCCUNNNNNNNNNNNNNNNNNNNNNNNNNNNNNNNNNNNNNNNNNNNNNNNNNNNNNNNNNNNNNNNNNNNNNNNNNNNNNNNNNNNNNNNNNNNNNNNNNNNNNNNNNNNNNNNNNNNNNNNNNNNNNNNNNNNNNNNNNNNNNNNNNNNNNNNNNNNNNNNNNNNNNNNNNNNNNNNNNNNNNNNNNNNNNNNNNNNNNNNNNNNNNNNNNNNNNNNNNNNNNNNNNNNNNNNNNNNNNNNNNNNNNNNNNNNNNNNNNNNNNNNNNNNNNNNNNNNNNNNNNNNNNNNNNNNNNNNNNNNNNNNNNNNNNNNNNNNNNNNNNNNNNNNNNNNNNNNNNNNNNNNNNNNNNNNNNNNNNNNNNNNNNNNNNNNNNNNNNNNNNNNNNNNNNNNNNNNNNNNNNNNNNNNNNNNNNNNNNNNNNNNNNNNNNNNNNNNNNNNNNNNNNNNNNNNNNNNNNNNNNNNNNNNNNACGGAGAGGGGGGAGGGGGGAAGGGGGCGUCGUCCGCGCAGUCGGCCCACCGGAAGGAGGCGCCCAGGGCAGCCGGCGCGGGGAGCGGCGGCGGAGCCGCGGGCGAGGGGGCCUGCAGGGAGGGAGAAGGGGAGGGCGACAGAGGAGUCUCGGCGGCGGCGGCGCAACCGGCUGCGGGAGCGCCCGCGGUGUCGCCCGUCAUCUUCCGCCACUUCCGUGCUUUUAACCCAACUCAAGCUGAAGAAACUUAUUCAAUGGUCACUGCUAACCGCUUUUGGUCCCAAAUCUUUGAUGCUCCUUUUUCCAAUAAACGCUGGUUACAUUUCUUUAUGCUAUUUGUACCCGUCACCGGUUAAUGGAUGAGUGCUAUUGGCGUAGUUGGCUUGGCUCUGAACUUACGUGCCUAUGACUUUGUUUCCCAGGAAAUCCGUGCAUCGGAAGAUUCUGAAUUUGAGACUUUCUACAUCAAAAAUAUUCUUUUAAACAAGGGUAUUCGUGCGUGGAUGAAAGCUCAGAAUCAGCCUCAUGAAAAUCUUAUAUUUCCUGGAAACACUCUUUAAUGGAACUUUCGUUUUAGCUGGUCGUGACCAAGAAACCACUGGCUUUGCUUGGUUGGUUGGGAAUGCCAGACUUAUCAAUUUGUCCGGUAAACUUCUUGGAGCUCAUGUAGCCCAUGCCGAAUGAAUCGUAUUCUGGGCCGGAGCAAUGAACCUAUUUGAAGUGGCCCAUUUUGUACCAGAAAAGCCCAUGUAUGAACAAGGGUUGAUUUUACUUCCACACUUAGCUACUCUAGGUUGGGGAGUAGGGCCCGGGGGGAGGGGGGGAAUUCUAGAUACUUUUCCGUACUUUGUAUCUGGCGUACUUCACCUAAUUUCCUCCGCAGUCUUAGGCUUCGGUGGCAUUUAUCACGCGCUUCUGGGACCCGAGACUCUUGAGGAAUCUUUUCCAUUCUUUGGUUAUGUCUGGAAAGAUAGUGUGACUUUGUACUAAAUCAGCGACACUUAUUUUGGGACGGAGGGAGUAUAUCAUUAUUAGAAAGGCAUCUGAGAAUCACUAUGACUGUGAAGAUGAUAGAAGCCUUGCAUCCAGCGCUAAUGUGGUUUUUCAUUAAUAUUUUUUUAUCACAACAUAAGCAAAUGUGUUUUCUCUUCUUACGUCUUGAUGACAUUAAGACUGAUAGCUCCUUGCAAGAACAGAUCUAAGCGUUUAUUUCUUCAACGCAAAAGCGAAUGUUUUGUUUCUGUGCAUUUCUGCAGCCCAGGCUCAUAUGCUAUUUUUAUUUACAAAUUAAUCGUGCACCAAAUGGAGUAUAUGCCAUUUUAUCCUAGGGCCGUAAUGAUGUUAAGAUUUUGAUGGAUUUUGUACAGUACCGUAAUUUACUAUUAAUAAUUCCUAGUUUGUAUGCCACUUUCUCCAAUAUUUUCCUCUAGGUUUCUUUGCUAUGAUAUGCCGAUCUUUGGAGGGAGCCAAAAACUUACCUUAAAUCUGUCAAUUUCCAUUUCAUUCAUCUUUCACGUUGCAAGCAAUGGACAUGAAAAACUGUCUGUUUUUACUUCCCAGAUGUGAUGGUAUGAGCAACUCCAAUAGCUCCUAUAAAAAUCUUCCUAAGAAGUCGUCUUACGGGGUGUCUGUACAAUUUAGGGGAGGUUGAUGGAUGACUAAUUUCUCAGUUCCCGUAAACAUGUACCCCUAGAAUAUGUUUUUUUUCCUAUUUCUCUUUUAAAAUUGGUCCAUAACACAAGGUACCUAACAUGUCACUGAGAAAAUGAAAGGUGAUGUCGGUCAGGGAAGGUCCGACGAAGUGGGCGGGGAGGCGCAGAGAAGGUCUGGCGAGGCGGCUGGCUGGCUCGAAGAGGUAGGCAGGCGACACUACCAGCGGCAGAGCAGUGGCUGCAGGGAGAGGUGGGCGGGCUGAACAGCGGGCGGUCGCCAGGCGUUGGCGGACAAGUGCGGGCGGCAGGUGAGGCGGGCCGACGGCGAGGGGGCUGCGUAGCGGCGCGAGGGUGUUCGAUGUGAAAGUUCAGGCAGUUUCAGCCCACCAAAAUUAUAUGGGAAGGGUCAUUUUCCUGUAAACGCAAGGAAAGUUUGGGGAAAUUAUAAGGGAUCCUGUAAAAGUUUCCGGGUUUACCGGACUUGUUGGAAAAUUAUUGGAGUUUACAGAUACAAGAACUAUUGGAGUUACUCUGAGUAUGAUCAAAACAAAUGUAACAUGAAUAUUAAGUCCUACUACAUGGAGGUUGGUUACUCUGGACUAGAUCAUUCAUGAUUAUCCUGUUUGCAAAUGCAACUUUCAUUCAACCAGUCACUCAUUCAUGAACUUCUGUCCAUUCCUUCAUUUCCGGCAUGGAAUUGGAAACUAAACAUGCAUGUAGAAUGAUCCAGAGUAACCAACUUUCAUGUAGUGCCAAGCAAGGUCACAAGACUCCGCAGUUUAACCUGAACGGCUCAUUCAACACAUAUACCGUGCAAAGAUUUUUUUUCUUCCUAAAAAGAGGUAACAAGGACUAGAGAUGUGUACAAGUAUUAUAUAUACCCAUGCCUUAGGAUGUCAAGUUGGGUGUGAUAUGGACAUGUUUAGCUUCAGUCCAUUUAAGAUAUUGGAGGUAAACAAAGAAAAUGGGAGAGUCAAGGUCAAGGAGGUGAAGGGAGAAUAGACUGAUUAGGACCACCAAUUUCUUGUCUUGCUUGUAGCCUCGAUGGUGUAGGAACUGUCGAUGGUGAGUUUGUCGUGAAGAGAGAAAGGAGAAAACCGCACUUGAAGAUUAGUUGCUUCUGCUCUACAGCUAUGGUUAGUGUAUGGUAUACAUAUCCUCUAUACAGGCGUUACCACCUACUUCUUUUGUUAGUACUGCCGUUCCAUCAAUCAUAAGUCUUUCAGCCGAUCAAUUAUGCAACUUGAUUAUUUUUAUCAACAGGUGACUAUAUUUGUUCUACAGGUUGUAGUGAUUGUCCUAUAUGUACCUGAUAUCUCCUCGGUAGCCUGUCUAGAAAUUGUCGGCAUUGUGCACUACACAAUAGCAAAAGCGAUACUAGAUGGAUGAGAUCAAUUUGUUACUUUUAUACUACAUUCACCAUUUAGCAUCAAUAGUUAAUAUACAAAAUGAAAAAUAUUUCAAGUUGUAUAAUAAAGUGAGAGUAUGCUUUAGUCAUGCUUGGUCUUUAGUAUGACCACCUAGCCCCGUUGAGGGGAUCUCGAUCGGACUGUCAUUGUUGUUGUGUGGAUGAGGGCGGGGGGAGAAGGCCUGGUUUCUCCCGUAGCAAAUGGAUAUAGUCGUCACUGAUGUUGUCGGUGUUUGAGAGCUUGGUUAAGUGAACCUGAAGAGGCGGGAAAUAUGUCAUUUUUCUCUCUUGGAUCAAAUGUCCCUUGUAAAGCGUUAUCUUUCUACCGUGGAUAUGAGAAAAAUAAUUUAAAUCAACAUCCGAGUAAUAAUUGCCAUAACUAUUAUUUGAGUCUGCUGGUGGCACAUGUGUUCUCUGCAGCGUGCCAGUGGUUGUGACACGUACGAGAGUGAGUGCGUACAUAUGUGGCUGUAUAUAGACAAUGCAGCUUGGCCACAUGUGGUGGGCAUGCCACUUAUUGCAAAAAGACCUGAGAAGAGAAGCAACAUCUUUGCCCUUGUGAAACACAACACACCACCGGCACUAGUAUGCAUAUUUAGCUGACAGGUGAACACAGUUACUACCUAGCUAGGGUCCCUGGGUGCUUAUAAAUAACAUCCCUGUGGAUGCUCCUUUAAAGGCACACCACUCACGCAGUCACGCUUAGCGUCGAUCUUCACACACUUCUUCUUCAACAUGCCUCCAGAUUCACCUACCCUCGCUCUCAAAGCGGCCACCAUUCUCGCCAUGCUUGCCAUGGUGAUCCUUCCAUCCGUGGGGAGCUCCCCGUCGCUGGGCCAAGAAGAACUAGUAACGACCCCGGCACCAGCAUCGGGUCCGGCGCUGGCGAUGCGGUGCAGCGAGUGUGGCCCACACUGCACAGGGAUGUGCAGAGUCUCUGUUCCCCCGAAGUGCCGCAAGUACUGCGACGUCCCCAGCUGCGAGGACUGCCGGUCUUCCGCGAUCGGCAAGUGCAGGGUAGGUUGCACCACUAGUAGCUGUGACUGCGACGGUGAGGCGACCCGGUCAUGCUAUGGCUUUUGCUCUGGCAGUUCUUCGUGCGCGGACUGCAUGAGGCUAACUAGUGAGCAGUGCACGAGUGAAUGCAACGGCAAGUGCGCCACCACUUGUACGAACAAAAUCAACCAAGGCAAAUAGGUCGGCUGGGCCUCUUGGUAUGUAUCCAUACCAUCUACGUAUGGUAUGGAUGUUGUAACUGCCAUAAUAUCGUACCUUUUUUGCAGUCAAAUAAAAAUCUGGUACCUUUCCUUUACUCCUUGUCAUAAAAUACCUCGCAAAUUAUUACUUGAUGGUAAUUUCAUUUGGAAUUACAACGCGCAUGUCAUGUGAUAUUUGUAUCUUUUACCAUAUUUAGUUUUUCGUUUCAUAGGAUAUAUUAGAUUAAAGACCUGAACAUAGAUGGUGGUGGUGGUGCUACCACACUGCCACUACUGACAAUGUUGCCACUUACUACUAGCACCACUACUACAAAUGUUGUCACUUACUACUAGCACUACCAUUACCACCACCACUACCUAAAUUUCAGUGAAAUGGAUCAUUCAAGAUCUACCACCAACACCACCACUACAACCUAAAUUUCAGUGAAAUGUUAGUACAAUAAAAGUAGCACCGACAUACAAUGGUUCAAGCAAAAUUUCAUUAUCAUAGAAUCAUCUGUGAUAAACUUGAGUAAGUAUGGUUGAUAGGAAGCAAUAGCUUCAUUUUCUCACAAUAAUUAUAAAAGACAAAUUGGAGACAUUAAAAUUUGAUUGCUAGCAUGAUCAGAUGCAUAAAGUCGUGCUUCGUGAAUAAAUUAAAAUUUUCAAUUGUAUGGAAGCAAGGCAUCAACAAAGUUGUGCUUUGUGAAUAAAUUAAGAUUUAAAUUGUAUGGAAGCAAGGCAUCAACGGGAAAAGCUUAUUUAUUAACUGAAGUAUGGCAAGUGUUAGGAAGCAUGAAAUUAUAUGGCAGCUCAAGAUAACUAUUUUUGGUUGGGAGAUAAAACAUUUGUAAUGUAGAACAUACUAAUACUGUGGCCAAUAAGAGGAUGCAUGUUUUGUUACGCAUAGAUAGGAAUUUAACCGAUUUACUAUUGUCUUGCACAAUGCACCAUUAGGUAUGAAUGUGACACAAACGGGAGAAACUGAACUCCCCGACGUGGGAUAUGGCGCGUGGUCAUGACGGGAAUGGAUCGAGCCAGGGUCAUCGUCACUCCACACGAUAUCACCUCCAUUGUCAGCCAUCAUCGCGAGGACACACAAAACUAACAGAGAAAUCACAAUCUACAUGCCAUGCAAAGAUCCAGGGUGCCCCAUCUCUCUGAGUAAGGGUAUAUGUUUUUUUAAUAAGGGCGGUAAAUGUGUUUGUUUAGUAACAUGGGUUUUUUUCUUUGAGGGAAAUGAUAGAUGGGGUUGAAACAGAGGCCCACAGGUGGAGCGAGUAAUUAGGCCCAACAUACAGGAACCAAAUUCUGAACUGGGCCAUGUUUUUCCCAGACCCAACGUCACAAGCCCAGCUCACAGUUGGCCUUUGUCUCAAAAAAAAAUACCUCACAGUUCGCCUAUCUGCGUCCUCCUCGCCAUGGCUCAAGGUACUCACUCACCCCCACUACCGCCAUGGCUCAAGGUACUCACAGUUCGGCACCAGCUUCNNNNNNNNNNNNNNNNNNNNNNNNNNNNNNNNNNNNNNNNNNNNNNNNNNNNNNNNNNNNNNNNNNNNNNNNNNNNNNNNNNNNNNNNNNNNNNNNNNNNNNNNNNNNNNNNNNNNNNNNNNNNNNNNNNNNNNNNNNNNNNNNNNNNNNNNNNNNNNNNNNNNNNNNNNNNNNNNNNNNNNNNNNNNNNNNNNNNNNNNNNNNNNNNNNNNNNNNNNNNNNNNNNNNNNNNNNNNNNNNNNNNNNNNNNNNNNNNNNNNNNNNNNNNNNNNNNNNNNNNNNNNNNNNNNNNNNNNNNNNNNNNNNNNNNNNNNNNNNNNNNNNNNNNNNNNNNNNNNNNNNNNNNNNNNNNNNNNNNNNNNNNNNNNNNNNNNNNNNNNNNNNNNNNNNNNNNNNNNNNNNNCUGCGGUCCUGUCUUCAACCUCUCUGGUGUCCUCUUCUGACCUCCCGUCUUACUUCCUCCGGCCUCGUCAAUGGGUACGACGACGGAAGCCAGUCCGGCCUUCCCGUCAACACAAGGUAUCAGUCCUGUUCGUCCAUUUCUUCCGCGAUUCGUCUCACAAGAAUUUAAUUGAAGGGGCACGCCCAAUGGAUGAAUCAGCAAGGUUAGGAAACAGAAUUCAGUUGCAUAGCCUGACGGACAGUGAUGUAGAUGUACAUAUGUGCUUUUCUAGCUUAACAACUCUGCGCUUUCUGUGGAUAUCACUUCAAAUAAUCAUCAAAUUUUCCAUCUGCGACAUCACUAUCAGGCGGACGGGAGGCAAUUGGCUUCGAAGUUCCGUUUCUUGAUGAAGUUCAUCCGCUCAGUGGCGGAGUUAUAUCCAGAAACAGAAAGGUGCCAUAGCACCCGGGUGGCCCGACACCCCCUAAUCCGGUUCGUCGAGUGACUUCAAGAUUCGCGUCGUGGAAUAGUUAGUGCAAGCCGCAUGCAUUGUCAGGUUAAUUUACUAGGCAAUUUGCAGAGACAAAACAGGACCUGUAGUAGCCUGUAGCAGGCAGUGUAGGGCCGGCAGUAGUGGGCACGGGUAGGCUAGAGAUAGCCCUGGACGAGGCUAGGUGGCCUAUCGGGAGAAAAGACAACACAUUCAAAAAUCAAGGACGUCGCUAACUGUCACAUGUGUGGCAGGAAAGGAGACGCACUACACGUCUCUUAUGCAAAUAGAUUACCACGUCAUCGCAUGCAUGCAUGCGAGAAUUGUUUUUGAUUUUCAGUUUUUAAAAUGUUUUAUCUCUUAAAUGAAAAAUCCGAUUGAAGAUUCGUUUUCAUCAUUAAAUCCCUCGCGACGAGAUCUACAAAACUAGAUCUCAUAUCGAUAUAUUUUGGUGAAUUUUUUUGGUCAAAAGUUGCCAUGUCUAUUGCACAUGAAUUUCCAUGAUAUUUACAUUGAAGUUGCCAUGAUAUGUUUCAACUAUUUUCUUUUACAUUAAAAUGUAAAUUUUAACAUAUUAUAAAACGGAGAAUUAAGAAAUUAGACUUGCCAUGCACCAUAAACUAAAAUUGCCAUGAUACAUGCACUUAAAAUUGUCAUGGUUCAAUAAAAAAAUAUUUUCAUGGUCAAAGUACUGGAAUUGCCAUCAUCAAAAAACUAAAAUUGCCAUGAUCUACAAACUAAAAUUGCCACAUGACAACUUUAGCUUAAGCACUUUGGCAACUAUAGUGUAAACAUCAUGGCAACUUCCGGGCAAAAAAAAAAUCAUCGAAACAUAUCAACAUGGGGUCUAGUUUUGAAGAUCUCGUCGAGACGGAUUUAAUGGUGAAAACGGAUUUUUAGUUUACUUUUUUAUUUAGGAGAUAAAACAUUUUUAAGCCGAAAACCAAAAAGAUUUCUGCUGAUGUCAUCUAUUUAUACGUGGCAAAAUGAGUGGUGAUGGAGGCGUGUGAGCGAUCUGCAAACGGCCACACGUGUGGGCGUUAGUUUUUCCGAAAAUCAAUACACUGUGGAUGCAUUGGCAGCAUUAGAUUGCAAAUAUGAUCGUAGCCAUUAAUAUUCUAAUCCCACAUUUUCAUGAUCUAAUUUCUAAAGGACUGGACAACAUGUUAUAGCCUUAUAUAGGGCUGAGCCACCAAAUCCACAUUUCUCUCGGUAUAAUUUCUAUAUGUUAAUCUGCAGCAUCUCCCGAUGAACCUAUUUUAGGAUAAGAAUUUUUUUAGAGCAUUUUUUGAUGUUUUUUUUUAUAAAAUCAAAUACAAUUCAGUGCAUUCCACAGUAGGUUUUCUGCCCCUAGCUAGUGGUAAAGAACAAGUUCAAUUCAGUCUUAUGAUGUUAUUAUUGAUGCCUUGUUCAAAUCAAAUGGACAAGCAUGUACUGUACUAAUCAGUGAUUUAUAUCUUAAUACCGAAAAUUUGUGCUGAUUUAUGAAUUUGUUGAUCCCGAGGUUCUGCUAAUCCGUGUACUAAUAUUUUUUUUGGGCAAUUUGGGUUAUUUUGGUCUCAUUAUGAGGACUGUGCUAAUAUGUGUUACAAAUAUGUUGUUGUGCCGACUAAUUUGUGCUAAUUCUGAAAAUAUGUGCGUCUAAUCGCCAAUAAUAUCAUGUGUAAAACCAAAAUGUCAUCGUUCUUGAGGACAUGAAAGCGCUGAUUCCAUGCUUUUCCUGCUGAUAUGCACUUUAGUAUAUGAAAAUGUACACUUACGUGGUGUUUAAAUUUUCAACUCACACUUAUAGAGACGUGCAGUGCACCAGCCAACUGGCGCAAGCUGUACAUUGACGGCAUACAGUUUCGGUCUUCCGGUCAACAUAAGUUAUCAUUCGUGCUAGUCCGUCUUUCUGUGACACGAUUAGCAUGACUUAAGAGGCACACCCAUCUACGUGCCAGUUGCCUGAAUCAGGAGGGCGAGGAAGCAGAAUUCAGUUGUGUAGCGCAACAGUGAUAUAUGUCUGCACUUUGCUAGCUGAAUAACUCUGUGCUCUAUGUGUACGUCACCUCAAGUACUCAUCAAGAAUUUACUCCUGCACGCGCUAUGCAGGUGGAGGAGAAGCAGUUCGCGUGGAAGUUCCGUGUCUCUGAUGUCUGAGAAGAAAGCUCUUACAGAGUUUUCGUCCGCUUGGUGGACUGGAGCGACAUCCAAGUUAAUUAUAGUGUCCAGUCAUCCCUAUAUUUCAGUGUUUCUUCUGUUUUGUACCAUCACAUUUCAUAUGUGCAUCGGAGGAAAUGUGCAUUCUACAUGAUGGAGAGGAUCAUGUCACACAGUCCCCAUUUACAAAGCCAUAGGCAGUGGCUGAAGAAUUUUUCUUCUAGUGUCACUGUUGUUCUAACUCUCUGUCUUCGAUUUUGGUGCUUCCGUAGUACGGUUGCAAAGCUAGGCUUCAUCUGAUUUUAGUUAGCUAAGCUGAUAAAGAGAAUUCCACAUGGCCCUUUAUUUCCAGCUUUCACUGUCUCACAAUAACAACACAUAUUAAGCUCACCAAACUAGAUCCAUACUCAUAACUUACCUUUCAUCAUUGAAUAACUGGAGAUUGCCAAGUUGUCUUUUAUCAUGUCAGUAUAUUAAGUAUUAUGUAUUUUCAUAUGAAGAAGAAAUAAUCAUCUGGGAUGUGGAGUUUCGGUGCUCGGGCGCAGCUGUACCCGAAAUCCCACUCGUUGGUUGUCGUCUGGGGAUUCCCAUAAUGUCCUCUGACAAGUCUGCAGCGAUGCGUUAGUAAUUCGGUAUACGGCGCGGCAGCGUAUGGUACAGUGCCUGGGCGCGGGCCCGAAUCGUAGGUGUGGCGAACGUCCCGUGUGCUUAUAAAGUUAUAAUUCUGGUCCGUUGACCAGAUAGUUUAGCUGUAGGCUGAGCCGUGGAGCAUGGGUUUGGCUCAGGAUCGCGUGUCUCGACGGCGUGUGUGACACACGAUCGUGGGGCCGCAGUUAUGGAGAGGCAGCUGCCGACAACUGAACCCCGCAAACCCUUCCUCUCGGCGGUUCUCGAAACCAGCCACCGCCGCGGGUCAGCUAUAAUCCAUCCCCAUUGCCAUUGAUGGCUGUUGCGGUAAGCGACGAUGGAGGACGCUGGCCUGGACUUCCUGCUGGACGCGGUCGACAGGUAAGAGAACUAUGCCCAAAUUCGAGAUCUAUCGUUUUUUUGGCGGCGAGGAGGAUACUGGUCGACACCUGAAUAUUUGGUGCUCCUCCACGUCUUGGACAUGUAUUUGCAGAUUUCCCCUCUGUAAAGACUUUGCAGAUUGCUUGGAGCACCCAGAUCCGGUUCCUCUGGCGCGGAUUGAUGCGCCGAGCGUUCAGCAGUCUGAAUCGAACGCUGGUUCCGGGUGCGGGCAGCUAGUUGGCGGCUGUAGCCAGGAGCGGCAAGCAGGCGAUGGGAGCCGUCGCCGUGAGACAUCUCCGGCGAGGUCCGCACAGUCAACAGACCAGUCCCGCAAGGGUGAACCCGGAGGCGCUGGGGUGGACAAAAAGGUUCUGUAACCAUUGCAUUCCGUCUGCUCUGAAUUUUUUCCUGGAGUGCAACUCCAUUUGUCCUAGUACGGAGUGUAGUUCACUGCCAUGAUAUCUGUAACAAACUGUGACAGACUGACAGUAAUUGUUUUUUGAUGAACGGUUGGCAGAUACCAGGCAUGCUGAAUGUUGUCUCCAGCAGGGGAUUAGUCACUCGAUUUUAGGCAUGUCAACAAAGGUGCAUGUAUAGGUACAGACAAGGAAAUGUUAUUCAGAGUUCGUAGAUUCAAAAAUCUAGAAACCCAUAAGAAGUGGAACUCUAGUUGACAAAAUAAGCAGGAGGCAUGAUUUUUGAAUUUCACGGCAGACCAUCAAUAGUACAUAGGAAAAAUGUAUUUCCUGUUUAAACUGUGUUUGCUUUCGUUCAGGUGUCAAUUUUUUUGAAUAAGUUGAAAGUUUGUUUCCAUGGUUAGUGUGAGCAUCCCCGUCAUCAGAAAACAUAUUUUGCAUCUGAUAUCCUGAACUGCUUUUGGCGCAUUUCAGGUUACUGAGACUUAUAAUUAUGUGUUGUUCGAGUACCAGCCCCGCCUUCCAGGCCCUGUCUCCUGUUGUGCACAACUUACCAAGCUUGCAUUUUGAUGUAAAAUCAGGUUGCGUCUUGACAGUGCGCCACCAGACAGAACCCCGCGUGCAUCAAGGAUGAGUGCUCUAGAGACGUCGUUUCGCAAGUUUGCCGAGGAACCAACGAAAAGUGUGGUUCGUCCUGAAUUAGGAUUAAAUUUUGAUUCACUUGGUGAGGCGUAUAACUUCUACAAUUUGUACUCAAGGGAGAUCGGUUUCGGGAUAAGAUAUGGGAAAAGCAUGUUGAACGCAGAGAUGGUGAAAUCAAUGCAGGAGAUUGUUGGGAGUAGUCUAGGAAACAUUCUUGCACAUUGGUUGGGUUUCGAGUUUUGUUGCAUUAUAUGGAAGUGUUGGGAGUAGUCUAGGAAACAUUCUUGCAGAUUGGUUGGGUUUCGAGGACCGUCAGGGAAACAUUCUUGCAGGGGGGCUGCCUGGGAAUGGUAAAGUUACGAUACUAGCAAAUGGUGGUGCUGACUGCGAAAUGGGCCCAACUCAGUCGGUCAGUGUGAAUGCCCUAGUAGGAUUAGCUCCACCAGAUAAACAACGAGGGGCUGGCAGGCCAACGAAUAGCUGAGAUAAAGCACCAUAUGAGGGUUUGAGCAGGCGAACACGGUUCUGCAGUAUUUGUAGGUGCGAAGGACACAAGAGGACAACCUACCCCGACCGGGGAGAUGCCGCGAAGAAACGGCGCAGACCAGGGAAGUGCAAAAAAUGUGGCAUGAAAGGACAUCGCCGGAACACGUGCACGUGACCAAUUGGUGGGGUGCAGAAUCAAAAUUGUUAAACUAAUUAGUUUUAAAUUCUGUACUUGCAGUAUGAGGAUUUUCCGGAUUUUCCGGUGUAUCUCAGUGAGAUGUGCUCCAACGCUUGUUCCUCCAGUUCUAGACAUGCAACUAACUUGUGUAAAGGAGAAGAACUUGGUUCGGCAUUGUUGAAUAUCUGUGGUGGAUACACAUUUUACGUUGCUGUGUGUGUUCUGAUCAGGAUUGCAAUGUUAUUUCUUUUCUGCUCACCAUGCGUGUCUGGGACUGAUGCGUUGUGUGUGUUUAUGCUCCAAGGGAUUCAAAAUUUGAAUCAUCUGUCGGAGUAGAUGAAGAAUCGUGAGGGGUUCAGGGGUGUCCUCCAACGCCCGCCCCACCCCCAUGAAGACAUGGCGAGCAGCUCAUUCCUUAGCAGGCAGCAGGCAAGGUUUGAAAAACCAGCACGGUGACCUGUGUUGAGUGGCGCCUACACCUGCAGGCGGGACGACGAGGAGCUCUGCCGGCGGUGGCGAGGGAGCAUGUAAGGAAGCACAGGUACGAGGUGUGGUUAAGUUUUUGUUUCGCUUGGUAACCUCUGCAUGCUUCGGCGUCUGUAUCUUCUGCAGCUGCCUGAAGCAAUUAGGACGAUGGCGUCAACCACUGGGGGAGCUAUGUGGUAUGCUGCAGGUGCCAUGGCCCCCCAGCCCAUGAAUAUUUUGUGAAGAAACACUGUUUAUGAUGACACAAAUUAAAAUAAAUACAGUGUUUAGCCCCUCUACACAAUUAUAUUUGGCUAUUUGCCCCCUCAGUAAUAUCUCGCUAGCUCCUCCGCCACUUGCGUCAACUGCAUGGAGCUGCACCGACCUGGGUGAUGGAGCUGCGGACGAUGUCGGCGAGGUGAGUAGGGGAACAACCUGUUUGUUAGUACUACGUAGCCUGGAGUGUAGGUAAGCACGUGGUGACGUGGACCAGUUACGACCAAGACGGCUGCUAACAAGUUUGAGACGGCUCAGCCAGGCACGGGAAAGAGAACUGAGCCGUGCGGAACCAGGUGUUCCGCUCGAUCGGGCCGGCUGCCAUCGCAAUUAAUGGAGUCACCUGCACCCCACAUUUAUGUAGAAAUACAGCCAAUAUACCCUGCAGUCGGGUGGCACAAAUCCCCAUGAGAUCGGACGAUGAUGAGUGCGGGAGCAGCUGAGGCUGAGCUCAGAAACCAAUUUUCGUAAUCAUCUGCCCGUAAUCAUCUGCACACUCUCAACCAACCUGAGAACAGCAUACAGAAUGAUGAUGUAUGUGGCGUCAUGGCAGCCGCACAUCGGAUAUAGGACGGGGUCAGGCAGCGCUAUUUUUUUCUAUUUACUCCCUUUACCGAACAGUACUCUCGGUAAACUACCUUGGCACGUAGCUACACCACCAUUUGCGUCGUCCCGUCUGAUCGCUUUUUUUUGCCGAGUGACCGUAUUUGAAACUCGGUAAAGACUUUGUCGAGUGUUCGACAAAUGGAUCUCGACAAAUUUCUGUUUGCUGAAAAGGGGUAUGCCGAGUGUCCUUUGCCGAGUGUUUUUGGCACCCACACUCUCAGGUUUUAUGGUUUCUACCUUAGGUUGCUUAUUUUGCAUUCUAUGAAGAACAAAUGUGGUAUAGUAUGAGAGCAUGAAAAGAGCAAAACAAAGUAAUGCGCAAACAAUAGCCCGCCCCCCUUCCCAGACACACACAAACACCCUGCUGCCAACAACUCCUUUUCCGUACCGAGCACAAUAAUUAUUGGAUUGAUGUAGCGAUUUUUUGCAACCACUCAAAGGACAUAAAAACAAGGAAAAAACUGGAAACAUAUUUAAAAUUAACUAGCUAGUGGUGUCCGUGAAGUUCAAGAAAAAGCUAGAUUUUUUCUCGACAACAAGUUAAUGUGCAAAGAAUUAAUAAAUGUAUUUGCAAAAAAAGAAAGCAAAUAGAAUUAACGAUUAAACCAGUUUAGGUUUUCACUGCAGACAAUGGUAGUAGUCGGAACCAGAUACAAACCAAUAAAAAACAGGAUCUCAAAUCUCCAACCAUUAAAGAGUUGUAUGUUAGUCCUAUCUUCUGUUCAACCCAAAUUUUACAAUAACACUAUUAUACUUAAAUCUUUAUUAUUGCAAUACAUAAAUAAGUAAUUAAUGCACCAGCUUGCGGUUGUAACCAGGCAAGAUGAACCUAUGAACUCGCAAGCAUGCCAAUCAGAUCGACAUCCACACAACACCGGUAUGAACAUUGUCUAGAUAAAACUUUAUUUGUAUUUUAUUCCAUAAUUUAAACUAGUUUGUGCGGGUCACACAUGACAUUGUGUGACACUUUAUUUGUCACCGCUACAUCGACAUAUCCAUCGACUAAGCAACGACAAUCCAACUAUAUAUUACUAGAGAUAUUUUCUUAUCAGUAGGCACCAACUCGGGUGCCAACGCCGAAUGGCACAAUAGUGGUGGUGCCGUACACCGGCACGUUGACACUGCACAUCGUUGGCAGGGUACGAAGUGCAAUGGAAGUCAUCACCUCAAGUUGAGCUAUUUGGUGUGGCUGCAACAAGGUACCCUGGGGUACCUGUUGUUGUUGAGGCCAUUGACCCAGUUGUUGUUGUUGAGGUUGUUGGAAAGAACACUGUCCGAGCUGCUUCUGUUGUUGUUGGGGUUGGGAGACACCUUGGACCGACUGUUGGGGUUGUUGCUGCUGAGGUUGGUUCAAACCCUGACCAUGUUGUUGUUCUUGUAGGACGAUCGAGUAGAUGAUGGCACGGAUUGCAUCGUAGCGUGAUUGUUCGGGGAUUUGCGGCAGCUGCCGGCAACAUUGUUGCUGCAUCACAUGGCAACUACUCUGCCACAACAUUUGCGACCUAGCAAGACUUUGUGGCAUUGCCACAGGGCUGCAUUGCUGCUGGAGGAAUACCUUGCAUGGGUUUAGCUGCUGCAAGAUAGAUGGCUGAACAGAUGGUAUUUGUUGUUGCGGUAGAACUGGUUGUUGGUGUUGUGAAAAUGGUGGUUGUUGCAGUAGAAUUGGUUGUUGUUGUUGCUGCGAAAAUGGUGGUUGUUGCUGCUGCUGAGAAAAUGGUGGUUGUUGCUGCGAAAAUGGUGGUUGUUGCGGUAAAAGUGGUUGUUGUUGCUGCGGAAAUUGUUGUUGUUGCUGCGAAAAUGGUGGUUGUUGCGGUAGAAUGGGUUGUUGUUGCUGCGAAAAUGGUGGUUGUUGUUGUGAAAAUGGUGGUUGUUGUUGCUGCGAUAAUGGUGGUUGUUGUUGCUGUGAACAUGGUGGCUGUUGUGGAAAUGGUUGUGGUUGUUGUUGGAUGGGUUGUUGUUGUUGGUACCAUAAUAUUUGUUGUAGUGGUAAUGGUUGUUGUUGCAAUGGUUUCUCCAAGCUAGGGAUGUGGCUAGUCUCCAUUUGUGCAAUGGCACUUGUCGCCGCAACGGCGAGGAGGGCAAAGAUGAGGAAGGUCUUCAUGGUGGAUUGGUGUUAAAUAGUGUUGCUUGGUUUUGAUGCUUGUGCUUGUGAUGAUCAUUAUACUUCAUGCCUAUUUAUAGUAGCCCGUGCACCAUCUCUUUCCUUCUUUGCAUCAGCUUUAAUAAUUGUGUUUGGAUGUUUCUGAAAUGGAUUUUUGGUACAUUAUGGUAGGUUGCACUAGCUAUAAGCGUACUUUUGGAUUGAUCAUCAAAGUUGCUUUUUGGUUGUGCAUAUGAUUAUACACAAAGUACAUGAUGUUUGAAGUAGAUGACUUGCCUUAUUCACUUUACAUGUCACGCAUUUAUCAGGAUAGUAUCACUUCUACACCCGAUUUGGGAAAAAGUACAUAAUCUUUGCUAUAGAUAACUUGCCUUAUUCGCUUUACAUGUCAUGCACUUAUCAGGAUAUUAUCACUUUUACACCCGAUUUUGGAACCUUGUAUAGGGUGUCAGCCUUAAACAAGAAAAGGAAAAACUUGUGUAGGACUAAGUUGCAAUCAUGUGUGGGUUGUUAGGAUAUGCUCCAUUAUUAAAGCCUUACAUGUGGAGGGUUCUUCUAGACUCGAUUGUUUUUUAUAGAACUAACUAUGUAUUGUCCUUUAAGAUGAUAAGAUAAACUGACACCUAUAGAGCAUGACAUGACUCAUCGAAUUCCCUUUACAUGUAAAGGAUUGUAAUUGCUUACAAGUCACUAACAUAUAUCCGGUCCUAACUCUAGACACAUCAUCAUUAGUUUGAUCUUUGUGUUAAGGAUUUUUAUUUGAUCAGAUCAUUCUUUUGGCGGACUAAGUUUGCAAUAUUGUGUAAAUAUUUCACGGGGUGCACCUGGUCUCUUUUACUAAAUCUUUGGGGCAGGAGGUUGAUAUUUAUUUGAAUUGUGUAGAACAUUUACAUAGGUAACCUACUAGAAUUAUUAUAUGUUCAUUAUACUAUGACGACAAACAUAUAUAGUUUGGUUUACUGUGGUUCAUGUUUAGGUGUAUAAGAAUGAAUUUAUGUAUAUCGAGGUACUUUAUCAACCCAAAAUGAAAAAUGCCAAACAUUUUAACAUUUUUCAUCAACAAACCUUUAGAACCCCUAUUCGCGGCUAUCCUCCUAGAUCAUGGACAACCAGCAUAUUUCAUUUGUAGGAUUUUGACAAGGUCUUGAUUCUCUCCCACAUAAAAUGUUCUAGAUUGUUUCAUGGCAACUUGUUUGUGCCCGGAUAUUUUCAAUCUUCUUAUCUAGGCCAUACAUAUGUUUUUCUGUCAUUAAUCUAUUAACUGCUGAAUGAAGAGGUCCCAAAUGAUAAAGAAAAACUAUGUUAGGAGUAUGGGCAUCUCCACCACUUGUUUCAAUAAAACCAGAGGAUUUUAUGAUUAUGAAUUUGGUUCGAAAUAUGUUAAUGAUAUGUGCACUCGAUCUGAGCCAAUAUCCGAUGAAUUGAAAAGUGUUAAAUGGCCCAUGGAUAAAUUUAUAUUUGUUCACAAGUAUCAGAAAUCUGGAAUGGUGACACUACAUAUUCAAUUCAAAUUUGAAAAUACAUCUGAUCCCAGCUACGGAGGUCGCCAUGUGCCUCAAAGGAGUCUCCAUCGCAACUCUGGUCGUCUGCAAUUACACUAGAUGGCAGGCUAGUCUGUCAUCCAUCGUGGGAAUCCGCCGACAGGGCAGGUCAGAGGUCCUGUGGUUGCAACUAGCAGGUUAUUCAUCCAAUCUAUGUCCGUCAGUUAGUGCUCGAUCCUGCAGUAAAUGGUACUUGUAUGGAUAUAUAGUUGCAGAGAGGAAUUUCUUUGACUAGUGUUCGAUCUGAUUGCUAGCUGGAUUGGUGGAGAAAUUGCUACUUCCUCGUGCUAGGGCAGCAGUGGACAAUUAGUACAGACAGACCUGGCAAAAAAAUCCAAUGCGUAUAUUAAGUGGAGAUAGUACUAGAUCUGAUGUCUGCAGGAGAUACUAGUAGAUGUUAUACUGCACACUGGCACAGUAUGAGGUCAUUAUGUUGUUCUGUACAAAGUCUGUCACUUAGAUGUACAUAUAUGAGUGACAACCGCAUAUAUAUUUCUUGCAAAAUCCAUGCUUCCUUGCAGGUGGAAGGCCCUCAUGGUGCCCCCGAGACAGAGCCUGUUCCCUAUUUGGUACGGUGAGUAUUGAAUCGAAACGCAAAAUAUGCACUUAUUGAUUUGUCGAUCUCACAUUAUAUGCAUCUGAUAGGAGAGGUUAUCGUCAGAGGUUGUGGAACAAUCUGAAGGACACUUGUGGUUAAGCAGCAGCAUCAGGUGAGGUGUUCAUGUCAGUCAGUUGGUGGUCAGACUGGCACUUGUUUAAUUUGGAUGGUACAAUUUUCUAUUCACAUUGGUAAAUGCCAAUGGACAAUGACCAGCUUGGAUUCGCAUGUUGAAUUUGGAUGAUACAGGUGAGGAAGAAACUAAAAAAACACUAGUUAUGUGGUCACCUGGAACUCCAGAGUGUUUCUUGGUGCCAUAUAGUCUUGCUUUGCUGCAGUUAUAGACUUUAUAAAUGCCCUGAGCUAUUUUGGCAGCAUCGGUGUCGUUUCAUUGUUGUUUUAGCAGGGGCUUUUGAUAAAAAGAGAAGUGAAAAGAAAAAUAUUACGCACGCCUAGGUUAUGUCAUGAUUGUUAUCGGCUUUGUCGAACUUUGACCUCUGUCUUCUUCAGAUAACUGUAAUGUGAAUUAAUAAUCUCCUUCCACAUUUCCUAGGAUUAUAGAAGUUGGUAUGUUGUCGCAGCUGUGAAGUACUUAUCUUACCAAUUAUAGUGUCGUUACUUAGUUGAGGUGACAAUGUUGGAAUUAUGUGUCCUGCAACUAUAUUCAAAUUACUUGGAAUUGUUAAUAUUCGAAUUGCCUCAUUAUGAAAUUAUACAUGUAUUUAUACAUGGAAUUGCUUUACAUGUUUAGCAUGGAAUUGUUACUUGCUGGAAUGUACUUAAGUAAUAUAUGCUUAAGGAAGCUGGUCAAUUCUCAGUAGAAUAUAAUAUUACUAUUUAUAUUGAAAAUACUACCCGGGAACGCUGAUGAUUUGAAGGAGCUAGAUAGUGUAGUUAGAUUAUAGUCCUAAUGUUGAUCUACAUAAUUAGAGGAAUUUACAUUCUAUUAUGAUGUGUUGCUCACAAGCGCGUGCUCCAGGGACAUAACGGAUAGAAUCUGUUAACAAACAAAUACGAUCGUGGUUGGUAAUUUGAUUUAGACUCUAUCCAGGAAACUAGUUGUAACGACUAGGAAUCUUAUAUGUAUAAGAGGUGGACUCUUUGAAAAGACAGUACAAGAAGGUGCCAUCUCUAGUCCAGAUAUGCGAAUUGUGAGCGGCGCCAUGGAUAAAUAGACCACAAACCCUAAAUUUCUAACAGACAAGACGUUGAAAUUUUAUCUUGUGUUCGGAUAGCAUUAUUUGAAACCGUGAGUUGUCUGUUUCUGUACUGAUGGCACCCCAAAAGUGCUGGUUACUGGGGAGGUGUAUGCGGCAUGCCGAAUCAUUCUUCCUCGGGAGGCCCUAAAGCUUCAACUUGUUGAGAAACUGUCUGCACUCUGCAGUUUGGAACCUUACGGAAGGAUGCUGUGAAUUUCAUGGAUAGUGGGCUUCCCUGAUGGCUGCUCUGCUACUGCUAGCUUACGGAAUGGCUUCUACAACUGAACUGUACUGCAGUCGCUCUUGACUGAGAAUUGUUGGGGCCCGCGGUGUAGGGUGACUGCUUGGCGUUGAGUUGAGCUGCAACGCUGAAUCAAACCCUGGACGACACAAACGAUCUGAUCUAGAUUUGGUUUGAUGCUCGUCCUUUGGGUUGGUACCCAUGACAGGCACGGGUCGCCAGCAGUUUACUAUCAUCCAUGGUUCUUUAGCCCUGUGGUGUUCUACUUAUCUGAAAAACUUCUUGUUUUUGAAAUGUCAACUGGGGUAUAUAUAUUUUUCAAAAACAGGAAGUCAUCAGUUUGUGAUCAUACAGCAGAGGUGAAGAGAGGGGCAGAGGGCCAGGCAGUUACACAUAGAUUACAAUAUACAGACAGCAGCCAGGCGGGGUGUCAGCGAGCAGGGUUGCUAGAAUGAGCUGAAUUGCCUCUUUUUUCUACCGAACCUGAAGAUUUGUGCCUAACAUUGAAAAGGUUCCAUAUGACGAUGCAAUCCAAAUUGCCUUUUCGAUCGACUACUCUCAUAUGUAGUAGGUUAUACCAAUGACAACAACAGCAGAUUUAUAUCCCACAAAAAACAUGCAGCAGCAGUGCAGCUGAAGCUAAAAUAUAUAUGUUGGUUACUGAAGCUAAGUCGUAAGCACUUUUCACGGUGAUGAUCCAGGCUUUUCCUUGUUUCCACAUAAUUACCUGAGUUCAAUGAUCUGCAUUUCUCAGGUAUCGCUUGUUUCAUACAUCGAAUGCUAUUUAUCGGCCUAUCCAUGCAAUUUGAAAAUUCACUGCUGAAUGUCGGUUGUGUUCUGCGAAUAAGUGAAUGGUGGUGGUUAUUUGAAACCUAUGCCCAAUUGUGGUGGUUACUUGCAAUAUACUCCUAGAGCUUAAAGCACACGUUUUGGGCAGUAAGUCAGAUAUAUGCAUUAUAGUUUCUUUCUUGAAAGCUAUGUGUUAUGUGACACUGAUCAGACUACUAGUUCUGGAAACAAAUACAUGUGCAGAUGCCAUGCCAGCUUAUGCAAGUUGGUUAACAUUUUUGAAAAAUGAGUGGCUGUGUGCAUCACACAUAGGCCUGGAUUUAACCUCCUUUCCCGGGGGAAAAGGCAAGUUACUUAAUAGUUACAAUCAGGUUAAGUAACUGAAGAAAUUAAGCAGUUGACCCAAAUGCAGCUUUCAGGCUGCCCCAAGCAACAUUAAACUGGGCUUGUGUAAAAUAUUAGUGCAGUUUAUGGUCAGAUGGCCUUGUCGAGAUCGAUGAUGGAUAUUUUAUUUUGGUUGUAUGUUUCGAUCUAAUCCAUAACUGAUGAUACUACAUGCAACUAGGACACGAGUGAAUAAUCUACUUAAGAGCUGCAUCAUGAAGGGAAAACAAGUAAGCUAAGUACAUGGAUUAGAGCAUCUGCACACAUCUCAAGUGGUUGACUUAAGACUGAUUAACAAGCUUAUGUUGUUUCUUACUGAAGCUAGAGCAGACUUGUAUUUCAAGGAAGCGAGAAUGUAUAUAAGUCUUGCUCACGUCUCCUUCCCCUCUCUUGUACCUAUAACUAUCUAUCUCUCCAUUACCAGAUCAUCAGUAUUUACUUGUAUGACGGCAAAAAAUAAUAACAAGAAAAAUUUCACUGCAGAACCUCCUUCAGGCACAAAAUAAUGACCCGAGGAAUAACAAAGUUGGUUUCAAUGAAAGUAAUUAUCGAAGGAGGUUUCAAUACCCAAUGAAUUUAUGUAUGAUUGACUAAUGGUCCUACCUUUUCCAUAAUAUGUUGCUGGUUUUCCUUGAUAAUUGUUUGGAAAGCGUUGAAUUUAGCAUGUUUUAAUCACAAGUGGCCUUCUGAUCCGUCUGUUAUCAUGUUUAGGGUAGCUUACUGGAAUAAUGAUUGGAGUUCCCUGUAGGUGAUGGAGGACGCAAAACGAGCGCUACGACGGGACGCAGGACUUCUGGAAUGAGUCACAACUAAAGUUUUUCAAGCCAGAAAAAGCUUGGUGCCAUGGAUUCCCCGGCUGGAAGAUGGGACUUGAAUUUGGGAUUGUGUCUAUUCCAUUAGUGGUGUUGUCCUGGUUAAUAGCUGGGUGUUGGCAUCGGCAUGUUCAUUGUAAAACACUGUGUAUUUUCGUGUCUUCGUUGUGUUGGUUGUUCCCCUACUCUGUUGCUCAGCUAGGGUUGCAAGGAGGGAUGCCUUAAAAACUUAAUUCCGUGUCCGUGUUGUGUUGGUGGUGGUUGCGUUUUGGUUGUAAAAACCACUUGGUUUCAUUAAUGAAACUGAUAAAAAAAAGUAAGCAUAAACCUUUCAGUGGAAUAUCCAAAAAAGUCCAGGCCAACUGUUUUGAGAGAACAUUUUGCAAUAAGAAAAUUUAGUAGCUACAAUCAGAAUAGAAAUGUUCUUAUCUGAUUCACAUGUUAUCCAUUUGUUCUCUUGUGUUUAAGUGAGUAAUUGCACCAAUUUCGAACAUACAAUAGGUCGUCAAUGUAGCUCAUAUGAAGUGUGCAAUAAGUAAUGAUCCGUGGUAUGGGAGUAUACUCUUCAUAUUCACAUUGACUACACAAACCAAACUUUAUUAUCAGAUCCACACUGACAAGAUAUGAUCCCAAACACACAACCAAACAUAUAUCAUAACUAUAACAAACAAAUGGACAUGGAUUUUUGAAUUAAUAGAAUAUCCCAGGCUAAAAAUCCACAGAUUACUUGAAAAGGAAAAAAUUGACAAAGCUUGUACAGUUCCUUUCAUAGCUACCCGUAUAUGGGUAGCUACAGCCCACCUAGUUUUUGAACAUAUUAUUGGAUGGUGGCGCCAGAUGUAGUGUCCUGCAAAAAAAAGGUAUAAUCAACAUGGCUACAUACCAAGAAACCAAUCAUUAAGGUACUGAUGGAAAUUUGUCAGGAAAAUGUAACAAUCAUAAUGCCAGAUGACUAAAACUAGCUUUGAAAUUUAUAGGCUUAUUUGUUACAUAACCUUAACUACGUCCAAUUGUCAAUACCAUGACGUUUAAAUUUCUUUCAGCUGGACAAGAUAUACAUGCUAGAAACACGAAGAAAAAUAUAUACAGAUUAAGUAGUUGAAUGUAUGUACUUACAGAAGCUUUGACGUAGAAUGCAUGGAUAUUGAGUUCUUUAAUAGUUUGGAACGUAGGGGGGUUGGUGAGUGCGUAAUACUUGAUGAUCCCACGUGCCAUAGCAAACUCUCCAGUCCCACCCAUAAUGGCCAUCUGGCCUUGGCCUGUUUGAAAAUUGAUCCCCAUCGCUUCGAAUGAUGAUCCAUUGUACCUGAUAUAGUUUUAUAGGGCAAUAUCACAUAUCAUAUGAAACUGGAAAAUCUUUAGUAUUUGAGAUCUUUGUAACAAACCAUAUAUGCUAUAUAACCGGGAAAACUAAAACUUGUACUAGUCCAAAAGUAUAUAAAAAUGACCUAGAGUUCUUCUCGAACACCAUGCUGAAGUAGUUGAACCAGCCUGGACCGGCUACAUCAGCCUGCACUUGCAUGCCUUUGGUACGGGCAACAAUGGUGGCAGUAGCGGGGUUUGGUCCAUCAAUCACAGUCCAGUCGGUAACUGCAGUUAGACCAAACUCUGAUGGUUUGCUGGAGGUAACAAUUGCUACCUGGUUGAUGCCUGGUCCGGCGGCGAUUUGGUGCAAGUACAAGCGCAUGUUAACCUCGGACUCACACUGAAGAACACAGGAUAGGGAUGCAGAUGCCAUGGAUAGAAUGGAAUGCAGGAUUAGGAUCAUGGACAGGACUAAAAGGCUAGGGCUAGCCAUUUCUAGCUAGGAUUUUGGCUGGCUGAAGAAGAUGGUAGCUAGGAGGUGUGUCCGUAAACUGACUCUUUCCUUUGUCGAGUGUGUUAGCUGUGUGAGAGACACUUGAGUCUAGGGUACUAUUUGUAGUGCUCCAGAACUAGCUAGCAUAUUCGUUCCAUAUCCUCUUUUUUCAUUUCUCUUUGGGAUGAUCCAUUUCAUAUCCUUUUUAGUUUCUUUUUUUUUCAACUGUCAUUUCAGUUAGGAUAGACAACUACACAUGUGUGACUGAUUCCUUGUACAUCUAUCAACCCUCGGAGAUCACAAAGGUCAAGUGCCUUUUGAGGAACUACCCUUUUUUCCUUGAAAUACAAUGUGUACAUGGUAAUGCAGCAUUGACAAAGACUAAAAUGAAUUAGACGCCCAUUCUUAUCUUUACAUCUAAUUGUAUCUCCGGAUGAGCAGCAGCCUAGAUUUUCCACCUGGACAACGAGCACACUGUCACUACUCCUACAAUACAAAGUUCAAAUACAAGGAUUCAUCGCCGUUGAAUCUGUGAAUCGAUGCGCCGCUCCCCCGCUCCCCCGCUGGGGAAUCGGGUAAAAGGCCGCUCCCCCGCUCCCUAGGGUUUCCCCGCCGCCGCCGGCGGCUCCCCCGCGCGGAGCCGCCGCCGCGGCGGCCGGAGACCGCCGGAGCCGCCAGCCCCCUCCUCUCCCCGUUCCCCUUCUCCUCCCCCCACCCCUCCUCCGCGCCCCCGUACCCCCGCGCCGCCUCCCCGAGCGAGGCGGCCGGGGGCCCUUCCUCCGUGCGCCUCCAGCCCCUCCCCACGCCCAUCCCUCCUCCCGCCGCCGUCAGCCUACGCCGCCGGUCCUCAGCCGCGUGAUGCUGGCGGCGGUGGGCUUGCCCUUCCCCGCUCGCGGUCCUCCCCUGCUCGGGCGAUGAUGGCCGGAGGCGGUGCGCCUUGGCCGGUGGUGGUCCGGCGUCCUUGUUGGAGGCCGGCGGUGCUCGCCGUGGUGGUGCCGCCUCUUGGCGGCGGGGUGGUCCGGUGGUGCUGGCCGGCUGGGGGCGUGUCCCCGGCCCAGAUCUGGGCCCGUAGGGUCCCUUCCGGGUCCUUGCGGGUUGGCUCCGGCGCGACCGUGACGCUCUCUGUAUGGGGAGGCAGGGGAGCGGCUUGGAUUGGGACAGCGACACAGAUGGUGUUCCAGCUGCUGCGCGGAGGCGGGAGCUGUCCGGGCCUUUGACGGCCCGGCCGGGCCUAUGGGGCCACGGGCCCGGUAGGCUCCUGCCAUGGCGUCCGGUCGGCUACCGUCGUGGACGGUGGAGGUGGGGCCCUCCCGUAUGCCAACGGUGUUGUUGCCCUAGUCCCGGCUCCUCUUCUCCGUUGUGCAGACCAUCUUCGUGGUGCCGUGGUGAGACAGCGUGGGAAGCUUCAUGUCCGUGUUGGCGCAGGGUGGUGGCCGGUCUGGUGGCGAGCUCCGGAGUGCCUGAGGUAGAGGCUGGGAUCGGGAGAAAUCUCUGUUGGCUUGGUCAACACCGACGUGGUGGCGUCUGAGGGUGCCGCCGGACCUUCCUUGAGGGCGUCGGGGCUACCCUUCCUCUCUCCUCGUCGUGUACCGGGGGAAACCCUUGGCAGCAGCGUCGUCAUCGUCGCGUCCCUUCUUGGAGGUGUUGUUGGGUACCGGCACUUCGGAGUCUCGGAGCUUGGUGGGCGAUCUCCGGUGGGCGCAGCGGUCACGAGGCUUCGUCGUUUUUGUCGAUCCACCAUUAUCGGCAUUUGUUUCUUUUCUUUUUUCUCUUUCCAUUCUUUUGGGCAUGUUUGUGCUGCUUCCGCCCCAGCCCCUAUCGUCGGUUGUAUUGGUUGAUUGCUUUGUAAUACAAAGCGGGGGGAAACCCCUUUUCUCAAAUCCAAGGAUUCGUGCUGCUUGUAAGUUAGAUACAUAGUUCAUCAAAUGACAUUUAAUUAUCUGGCUCAGUUUAUAGCUGCGAUUGGAGAUGCAACCCCCCACCCAUGGAACCCAGGUCAAAAGCUUUCCUUUCACCUCUUCUUUCCGCCGCCACCGACGUCGCUGCUCUUGUUGGGGCAGACUUGAUGCCAAAGACAGGAGGAAGCGGCCUUGGCAACAUCGCUGGUCUUGUUGAGGCAGCCUUGAUGCCAAAGACAGGAGGAAGCCGCCACACAACACUUCAGUUUGGUGGUGCUCUUCAAAUACCGGAUCUCGAUUUCCAGAGGGGAAACUCUAGCUCAGGCCUUCAUUCACUGUACGUUGGAAUGGCGAUGUUUCGACAUUGUUCCCUUGUUGAAGACAUUGUCUUGAGAUUGCUCGGAAGUCCUAUUCAGGGUGAAAACUCAUGAUCUAGCCUCUAUUAGAUUGGUGACAACAGUGAUCAUCCCUUUCCUAGAGGUGUCGUUGUUGGAGAUCCUUUCUCAUAGUUCGGGUAGUUCCAUUAGCGCAGGUUGGUGUUGGCCACUGAUGCAUGCCAUUGAUUGCUUCAACAUGAAUUUUGUAUGUCCUGUCUUUUUUUAAUAAUUUGGAUGUGUGCAACCCUGAUGGCUGGAUUAGCACAUUGCUUCUUGUAGAGGCUGCAGGGUGGAUGGGAGUGGGGCCGGGGGCAGUGGUGCCGACCGAAAACUAGCAAAUUUACUAUCAUCUUGAUUAACAUAUUUUUAGCGGUUUGUUCCUUGCAAAAAAAGACUAUCAAUGUAUCAAUUAUGCAAGCUAGUUUAAGACCAUUCACAAAUUAUUAUCAAAUGGUUCUAUUAAUGUCAACUGCAUUCAGGAGUCAUGCAUGACGUCAACCAUGUCAAAUUAUUGAAGGUUUAACCUCUGGCUUAGAAACAAAACUUAUGCGUACCAUAGGCCUGCAAAAAUUAAACCACUGUACAUGACAACCACACAAAUAUAAUACCUAGUGGGCAACCUCCGUACGACAACCACAGAAAUAUAAUACUUUUGACAAGUUUAUCAAUGCUACUUGCGUGUUGUCUAAUAAGUAGUGACCUUCAUAAGGAAUUGCGUCGAUCCAAGGAUAACAUCUUAAUUAGCAUACUACUAAGAUUCGAAGACAUAUACUCUUGAAAGUCAGUUGUGCCAUUAGUCAGAUGUGUAUACAGUAUACAAUCCAAUUGUAUGUAUAUGUAUGUCAGUAUGUGUGCUCAUCAACGGUUCACCAUGUUUUGAAGCAACCCAGUCAUCAGUAUGACCGAGUGUUCAGAUAUAUCCAGUAUACAUGCAUUCACGAGUGCUCUUAUUGCUUGUGUGUAACCCAUGUGGUGUGUUUGUUGAUGUAACUUCAUCAAAUAUGCAUCUAUAAUUGAAGGGAGAACCUAUCCUUCAAUUAUGGAUUAGUCGAUUUUCCUAGCCUACUGUUUAUCUUUUUCGCCCACCCUUCUCCACUUCUUUGACCCGUUCCCAACCGUCUGCCAAGCCGUCUGCUAUCUGUGGUGCCGCCAGCCACGCCGUCCGCCGUCGGUGGUGCUUCCGCGUGUGCCCCGGAGCCCUGCCCUGCUCAGUUUGAGCCGCCAUCUCUGCCAUCCCUCUGCACCCUGGCCAUCCCUACAAACCUCCCCACAGUCCCUGGNNNNNNNNNNNNNNNNNNNNNNNNNNNNNNNNNNNNNNNNNNNNNNNNNNNNNNNNNNNNNNNNNNNNNNNNNNNNNNNNNNNNNNNNNNNNNNNNNNNNNNNNNNNNNNNNNNNNNNNNNNNNNNNNNNNNNNNNNNNNNNNNNNNNNNNNNNNNNNNNNNNNNNNNNNNNNNNNNNNNNNNNNNNNNNNNNNNNNNNNNNNNNNNNNNNNNNNNNNNNNNNNNNNNNNNNNNNNNNNNNNNNNNNNNNNNNNNNNNNNNNNNNNNNNNNNNNNNNNNNNNNNNNNNNNNNNNNNNNNNNNNNNNNNNNNNNNNNNNNNNNNNNNNNNNNNNNNNNNNNNNNNNNNNNNNNNNNNNNNNNNNNNNAACCUGUCAAGCCAUUUUCCUCUCCUCCGUCUGCGACCGUGCGGCUAGUCACGACAUCCCGUCUCGUGCUCGAUGUUGCGGUGUGUUGCUCUCUGCAAACCGAGUUGGAUGACGCGAGGAAAAGAAUCAAGACUGAGUAAUAGAAAUUUCCAUGAUUGAAUAUUUCAGUUUGGCAAAACUUUUCAUACAUUUCUAUGGAUUUUCACUGUCAUAGAAACAAAAAAACGUAACAAGGAAAGAAGACGAUGUCCCUUCAUAGGAUUGCAUGGAGGUAACAGAGAUCCAUGUCUUGAAAACGUGGGAAAGAAAGGAGCACGCAAUUGAAAACAAACACCUCAUAAAACUUACACUAGUGCAUACUACGUCGUAAGAACAUCUACAACCGAACCCAAAUGUGACCCCUACACGUCCGUGGAUGCGUCCACAGACAGCGACCGGUCACCCCUUAUAUCUCCGCGUCCUCUUCCGUCCCCCUCAAAUCCAUGCUAACAACAAAACGUCAUCAACAUUUUAUGUAGAAACAAUUUGAACAUAGCAGUAUAAAAACAUAUAUAUUGGGAAUGGCAAGUUUCAUACAAUCGGACACAAAAUGUCCAUCAUCACCUAGAUAUGAUAAGCCUAAACAAUAGAUAAACUCCUACAUGUAGGCGUUGGCUGUCGGAGGGGAUUUGUCGUUGUCCUCGCUCAUCAUGCCGCUGACAUAGGACAGCAUCGAGGAGAUGAUCCCGACCAGACGCCGGACGGCGCAGGCCUGCUCCUUGGUGAGUCGGGCGGCUCUCGUGAGGUUCCUGAAAUCGUCGAUGUCGAGCCAGAGAGCCUUUGCAGUUUUCCUACGUCGGGCAUCCAUCUCUGCUGAUGUCAAUUUUCAGAGGCUGACAUCACGGAGGAGCUCCUCCUCCAGGUCAACCAGCGUGGACCUACAGAAUUCGCAGACACUGCAGGAGGAACCAGCAUUCUCACAGACCUACUGCCUAGCACGGCCGGCUCGCGCCUCUCAUUUGUACGUCCUCCUUGAAAGCUCGUGGUGCGGGAACAAGCAUCCUGCUCCAACCGGGAGGAGCGGAGCCCAAAGUGGUAGAGUAGGGUCACAAAGGGCGAUGGAUCUGGACCGGUGCAAACCGCGACGGGCUGCAUUGCCUCGUCGGCCAACGGGAUAGAAGGCAGAGCUCAAAUUCCUACCCCUGUCCAUCCAUGACCGGCGGAGCGAGGCGCAUGCAAAGGGCGAGUUCUCCUCAUCAUCCAGAUCCGAUUGCGGCAAGGCAUCCCAGUCGAUGGGCUUCGCCUCGUUGCUGGAUCCGCCACUGAAAUCGCUGCCAGAAUCAACCCAUAUGGUAGCCUGAGAAGAGGAAGCAAUGGAGAUGGGAGCGAACAUGACUGGAGUGGAAGGGGAGAGAAGAAGCCAGCACUGAGCUAUGUUUGCACCCUAGUGGAGAUGGGUCGGGCGAGCACGAACGGGUCCAAUAUGACGGCCGCGUCAGGGAGUGUCGAUCUACCCCAGACGAUAGGGCUAACUAUGUGGGGUCCGGUUGGGUGGCAAUUAUGGGCUGAGUAGUGACCGGGCUGUCCGCCCAUACGUUUGGGAGGAUAUGAGUGCUCCUUUGUACAUGCUUUAAAUCUGGGCAUGAGAAGCCGCACCUGCCGGUGCCUAUGCUGGGCUUGUCCCUCUUAGCUGGAAAGCCCCAAAAAGUCAAGGACCUUAUUUUUGGGAUUUUAUAUGAGAAAUAGGUAUGGUAUUGUAUCAAUUUGUCCUAAAAUAAUUCUUUUAUUAUAUUUAAAUAAAAAUAUAGCCAUUUUCGUGGCCAAGCGAGGUGGGAUAAGACCCGGGCUCGGAAUUUUCAGGCCGGGAUCUAGCAGGUCCGUCAGUUUUAAUCAAUUUAUUUCUUUUUCAGUUCUAAGCUGUUUUAAGUACCUGGUCAGCAAUCUCUAACCAAUGAUAAGAUAACAAGACUAGGCCUACUAUCAAUUUUCAUAGUCAAUUGUGUCCCUGGUCACAUUACUCCAAUCCAUCUAUAUUUAUGCGUGCUCAUAACCAGUUCACCUUGUUUGAAAUAAGCCCAGUUAUGUUUCCUUUUUGCAAGAAAGUACCGCAUUUAUAUUAAAUGACUUCCAACAUCCCGGAAAACAGAUCGUCGACGUGGUCCAGUGCAUCACAGGUGGCAACAAUGAACUGAAAGAAAUUGCGAAAUUUAAGGUAGUUGUUAGUGGCAGGAUCUAGUUUGAAGGUGAUCUAGGAAUGGAUGUUGGUUUUAUGGACGGUAUGGGGGCCUAGAGUUAGGAAAAAGGAUUGAGAGGGUAAUAGAGAGAGCACCAGCUACAGUAUUGAGGGCACCAUGGAGCUGAGAAACUGGGAGAGGUUUAACACCCUCUGGUUCUGAAGAAGAAGAAAAAUAAUACCACAAGCCUGCAAAGUAAACCAACAUAUAGAAUUAAGAAGCAAUUUAACAAUACUUAGUGGGCAAUCUCCGUGACAACCAUCAAAAUAUUGCUAUGCUGUUAAGGAAUUAUUUCUUUGAAUAAGCUUGGUACUAGUUGUAAUAGUUGCAUGUUGUCUAAUAUGUGACGUUAGUAAGGAAUUGCGUCAAGCAAAUUAUAGCAUCUUAAUUAUCAUAUUACCAAGACCUGAAGAUAUAUACAACCUUGAAGCCUUAAGAGCUAGAGCCAUUGCCUAUUUUUUCUUAGAAAUUGGGCCAACCCUGUCGCGUACGGAUUUAUUUAGUAGUAAUUAUUCUGUAUAUUUUCAUGGAUAUAUAGGAAUAGGCAGUGUAUAUGUGGAGUGCACACAAUCUUGUUCAACUUUUCUUUGCUGGAAGUAAGCUGUUUUAAGUACUUGGUCAGUAAUCACAAAUCAAUGAUAAGAUCGUAAGACUGGGCCUACUAAUAUAAUCCCUCCGUCCCAAAAUUCUUGUCUUAUAUUUGUCUAGAUACGGAUGUAUCUAAUACUAAAAUGUGACUUGAUACAACCGUAUUUAGACAAAUCUAAGACAAGAAUUUUGGGACAGGGGAGUACUUUCAAAGUCAACUGCGGCCGCUAGUCAGAUGUGUACCACAAGACAGUUACAUAUAUCAUGCUCAGCACGAGUUCACAUUGUUUUAAAAGCAACCCAGACAUAAGUAUGAGUGUUAGUUCAAACAUAUUUGUAAAAGAACACUCGUUUAUACACUUUAGGAGUUAAUACAUUCAUGAGUGGUUUUUUCAUCAUGUAACUGGCACGGAGUGUUACUGAAUAUAACUUUAUUAUUUAUUACAUUUCUUAGGAUUCUUCCUAUCAUGAAACUAGCGGUACUGCCUGCUCAGUUGCGCGGCAAGAUUUUGAUUUGUCAUUUUAAAUUUGGAAACUAUAUUUUGGCAUUUUAAAUAUUUCUUAACACUUUGUAAAUAUGCAUUCUUGUAAUUACCUAAUUGCGAAUGAGGAAUUCAUCAGCAAAGGAAUGCCAAGAAAUAGUCGGUCCCACAAAAAAGGCUGAAAUUAAGUGUUUUUACUAAAAGACAUUCAAUUAGAACAUAUCAUGUAAGAAGGCCUAAAUUCAUCCAUACAUACGCAUUAAGUAUACUUGUGGGGUUAACAAUUUUAAGCAUGUAUACAUGUACAUCUAUUAUCUAUUAUAUAAUUAAGACAAGAGGCAAACAAGCCAUCACGUUCGUCCACAUAUGAUAAUAUUUUGUACACCGUUUCAUUAGAAUAAUAACGGUUGAGAUUUAAAGAUUCUUACGUAACAUCGUAAAAUAGAUGUGCCAGUACAAUUGAACUGUCAUGUUGUCAUGUUAUAUGCAUGUAUAAGCAUUAGGUAUGUAAAAAGAAGAAAAAAAGAGUAAAAAGACAUAUUGGUUUGUCGCGUUACAUGUACCGUCACGUAAAAGAGAUGGACACAGAAGGGUGCAAAUAACCAUGACGUGCACACAUGUACAUACAUGAAUAAGAGUUCUAGGAAAACUAAAGAUGAAAGUAGGGUCACGUGAGAAUUAGAAAGGGAAACCUAGGGGACGAAACUAGAACGUGAAGGCAGACUUCAACUUGGACACGUACAUGUUCUCAAAAAAAAAAAACUUGGACAUGUGCAUGUAACGGAGAAAAAAGCUUUGCAUGAAGGGUAUUCACUGGAAAAGAAUAUGCAUAUGUAAAUCUACCAACUUACAAGGAAACAUACUAAAAAGUCUAGCGUUCUAACGCAUAGCAUAAAAACCUUAUACUCUAUACUGUUACACAACAAAAAAUCAGCUAUUAGGCUCAAAUUAAAAUUUAACCGGUAGAACUGCACAUGCAAUUCAAACUAAAUAUAUUAUUGGUAAUUAGUCAUUCGCUAAUUUAUGAGAAGACGCUGCAAGACAACAAUAUAUUACCGAUUUUAUAUGAAUAUACACCAAUAGUUUUUUUUAAAAUAUACACCAACAGUUCUUAGCCUUAUAUGGUCAGGCUACAUAAACAAUUAGAGUACGAGGACUUUGUCAAGAACAUUUAGAAGCAUGUGUCGAAAGCCGAUAUCGAUGAUACUGCACUAUCUAUAAAAGGAAUGCACAACAAAUAGAGGUACACAACAUAAAUCUUACAUAUUUAAUUGAUGAUGAAAUGAUUUGGCGUGGUAAGAAUCUAAGAUAGGUGUAAUUGGUCACCUUUCGUCGGGCAUCGGUGGAUGUCGAAAGGAUUUCAACCUAAAAGACACACAUUUCAAGUAUAAUAUUUUUUGUAUUUAAAAAUCACAUAUCAGUGGCAAUGUGGCAUUCGACUUAACAUUUAUGUGUUGGAGGAAAUAGCGACUAACCAAGAGCAGUAGAAAUGUGGAAUUUGAUUAGUGUUAUGGGACAAGCGGCUAGCUUGGUAAGCUACCAACAAAAAAUUGCAAUCAAUGAUUAGUGUUAUGGAAUUAUAUGGCUUAGUAUUGUAAGGUGCUGAUCUCCAUGACAUAGCACACUUGAAAGAAGUAUUGUUAAACUGACGAUUCCAAGGUCUUAUGGCUUUCUCGGAGAUGCACAUUUUGGUCAUACGUUACUAUAUAAUAUAAAAGUUGGUGUUGAAAACAAUACUACAUAACAAUUAGACUCGAAUGAAUGAUAGAGAAUAUUUUACCAAAAGAAGAAAUCAAGCAUUAAUUAAGGAAAAAUCUGUGUCCUGCCUUUUUUUUGUUUUGAAAUCCGGUUAUAUUCAAAUAACUGGGCAGUGGGCACCAUUAGAACUGAACAAGCCCUGGACAGCCCAAGCGAGAAUAUUGUAUCAACUUUAACCAUGAAGUGGCUUUGAUAGUUACCUCACAAUGAGAAGAUGUACAAGCAUAUAAACGUAUAUAUGGAUAUAUGACAUGUAUUUAUAAGAACACAUGUGCAUAAACAGACGGUGUAUUGCUACAAGCCAACAAUUAAUGUUUAGAUUUUAUUGACAAAAAUUCUACAAGAAUAUUUGGUGAAAAGAUAAAUGAAAAUGGAUUUGAGAAGGUGGAAUAGUGAAAGCCACGUAUUAGUACAAAAUCAUAUGGUUUUCCAUGGUGGGACACAUGCCUUGGUUCUGUCUAUCUUUGAUUGCCAUAAUAACCCAGUCUGUACCAACAUCUUUAUACAUAUUACAAAAAUAUACGAUGUGAACUUUGGUGAUGAUUUAUAUAGAUAUAAAAAAAAUGUAAUUGGUUAUAUAAAUAUUUAUAUAAUGACAGAUCAAAUAAAAGAAGAUACAUAGAGAAAUAACAGCACAAAACAUAUAAUAUAAAUAAAGGAAGUCUAGCCGCGCAAACGCGCGGGUCACUAUAUAUAAAAUAGCUGGGCAACUAAGUUUUGGUGAACUUAUUGUGGAAGUACAUGUCGUCCCACGUUAUAUGAAGUGUGUGGUCGUUCUUGUCAUUAAGUAAGGAUACCCAUUCAGAGCAGGAUGCUUUAUGGCUAAGCUCCUAUAUUACUGCCGGCCCAAGUUGAUGACAGAGAAACUCCUGAUCAAACAAGCUGAUAUACGGGAGCACAUCACCUUGUCGAUGCUAUGGAGGAACUUGACGCCGAGACCGCGAUUAGUCAUCGCUUGAUCAAUAUCUGCGAGGAACUUGAGCUGCUACCCAUACUUGGUGACAGACAUGGUGCUCUCCUUGAGCAUGUGGUACUUGACGCUAAGACUGAUGAUGUGUGCGGAGUUAUUGUUGAGGAAGUACUGGUGGAGGCGAUUCCAUGCCGACAAGGCAAUGCCGUCAUUGGACAUCGCAAGUCCAGAAGACCAUCGUCGAUCAUGGUAUAGACCCACAACAUGAUCCUGAUGUCAGCACGCUGCUACUCGGGGUCAUCAAUUUCAAGUUCAGAUGUUGAAUAAUGUGGUUGAGUUCGGAGGCGGGGAGGACGAACCAGAAGAAAUGCACCAUUUAUGGUAGUUGUUGACAACUUGGGUCGAGUUUAAAGGUGAAGUAGGACUGGAUGUUGGUAUUAUGGACGACAAUCGGGCAUGAAGUUUGUAAAAGGGGUUGGGAGGUAAGAAGAGGGAGUAGAAGAAAUAGUGGCGACGGGCGCCAUGGCAUCAACAGAGAAACAUGGAGAGGUCUUGGGGGUUUGCGCCAUAAGUGACGUGGUGCUGGAGUUGGUCUGGCUGUUGUUCACUGGUGUUACCAAGCUGAACUCAGUAAUAUGUAUUGUUUGCCUCAAGGUUUACAAGUGUAAAUGUGCACAAUAUAUAGAGAAAGGUCACAGAGAGAGGCCUAACUAACUUCAACANNNNNNNNNNNNNNNNNNNNNNNNNNNNNNNNNNNNNNNNNNNNNNNNNNNNNNNNNNNNNNNNNNNNNNNNNNNNNNNNNNNNNNNNNNNNNNNNNNNNNNNNNNNNNNNNNNNNNNNNNNNNNNNNNNNNNNNNNNNNNNNNNNNNNNNNNNNNNNNNNNNNNNNNNNNNNNNNNNNNNNNNNNNNNNNNNNNNNNNNNNNNNNNNNNNNNNNNNNNNNNNNNNNNNNNNNNNNNNNNNAUGGGCUCUAGUACAACACGGUUGAGUUACAACAGUACAUACAUAUGGUGCGUAGAUGUUUAAUAAUAUUGAUUUGAAUUCAUGUAUGACGGGGUAACAAAUGGCAAAGAUUAACAAUAACAUUAGACUGCCUGCAAUAGGAAUAUCAUACUAGCUAGUAUCAUGCACGACAACUAAGCAUUUUUUAUGAGGUGAAUAUAAAUGAAGAAAAAAAGAGUCCAGUAUUAUAUCAUGAUAUCGUAUCAUAAUAAAUGUUAUGCUCCUAUGUGUCAUACAUAACAACAAAUAAGGCCAUAUCUAAGAUACUAAUACACGAUAUUAUGCAUUAUAGAGGUAAUAUGAUAGAAUAGUAUCAUAUGCAUGAUAUGAACUUAUGAUAUGUACAACUCAUUACGGGAGCCUUAGCCACGCAAAUGUAUGGGUCAUUUUGCUAUAAAUGAUCCUUCUGACGUCAAACUGCACGCAUUAUUGCACAGAUCACUUGCGUAGAAUUUAGCACAAAAAAUAUUGGUGCGCAGGGUAUAUGCUAUAUCAAAGUCAACCACAGUUAAUUAAGUGACACGAAUAAGAACUAGCUGUAUUCGCAAAAAAAAUGAAUAAGAACUAACUAGGUUUUCUUAUUAUUUUAUUGGCGGUGUAGUACUAGCUAUCCAGCUAUGGCUAUCCUCGCAUUGGCUCCCUAUAAAUAGCAUCCUGCUCCCUCAUAUGGACAUGUACCAGUUAAGCAGCCAGCUAGCUCAUCUCCAUUGCAUCUGUUCUUGCUCUAUUCUCCAUUAGAACCUCCCAAUUCAUCAAUGGCUUCAUCUCUGAAGGUGGCCGCUGUCGUCGCGGUUUGCAUCCUGCUUGUCCUGAACAUGGGCCAGCCGGCGGCAGCCACAGAAUGUGAAGAUUGUCUAGGCGCCUGUGUUGGCAUCUGCAUCGCCUACGCUGAAACAUCAUGCACCGGCAUAUGCACCGCCAUAACUCCUGCAUGUCAGGCAUGUAAGGACGCGGCCUUAAUUGAGUGCGGUGCAACAUGCUAUGGCGGUUGUACCCUCCUCUGCUAAACCACCGGCCGGCUGUGCCCUGUUGCUCGCCGUAAGCUAGGUGCAUGCUUGUGUUCGUUGUUACUUCGUUGUUGCUAUUAUAAGCCAAAUAAGCGAACUAAUGCCGUUGCUGUGUGCAUGUGGCAAAAGUUCCUUCGUUUUAUUGUUCCACCUCGUUUCAACCAUCAGUAAAUAUACUUGUGUGCAAGUUGUGUAUGUUUUGUGCUUCUUCGUACAUAUCAUGUGUCCAAUGUGUUGUCAUACUUAAACAAUAGGGAUAUAUCCUUAUCAAGAGAACGCAGUUCCAAAGUAUGUAGUUUCGCUUCCCUCACGGUAGGGUUUCUUCUUUCACUCAGCGCCUCAUAGUGGCGUAAAGAUUGCAUCUAAUUCCUUCACAACUUGUCUUCUUCCAGCAUAAAACUCCGUCCUAAAUUUUCUAUGAUUUUUCUUGUUCACCGAAAAUACUAGUUUCCUUUGCUGUGCUUGAUCGUUCAUGAAUUAUUCCAACUAGUUCCAUGCAAGACUAGUUUAAGACCAUGGACGGAUUAAUGUUAAGUGGUAGCUUAUUAUAUUGAUGCCAACUCCAUUAUAUGUAGAAGGGUUGACACCAUGGGCCCGCAAAGUAAACCAAUAUAUGGAAUUAAGCAUGCAAUUUAGGAAUACUUAAUGUGUAGUCUCCGUGGUAGCGACCAAAAUAUUGCAAACAGCGAUUUUCUAAUGCUAAGGAAUCAUUACUUUGAACAAGUUUCUCGGUGCUAGUUGCGUGUAGUCUAAUACGUAGUGGCAUUCAUGAGGAAUUGUGCCAAUCAAUGGAUAAUAUCUUAGUAGUCGCAUAUUACUCCGUCCAUUUGAAAAUACUUGUCGAAGAAAUGAAUAAAAAUGGAUGUAUCUAGAAGUAAAAUACGUUAGACACAUCCAUUUCAACGACAAUAUUUCUGGACCGCUCAUUGAUAUGGUCUAAUCUAGCAAGAACUACUAUUACAAGUACUUCGCAGCUACGUGCACCUGCUUCAUCGAGCAGGUUUACAUUCGCGGGGUGGGUAAUAAAAUGAGCGGCCCUGGUGUGCCCUAGUCGUAGUUGCCGACAUGCAUGGGUCAGCCGCUACGUACUUUCUUGCGUGUAAAGAGUGACCAAUGACACAGAUUGCGUGUAAAGAGUGCCUCUCAGCAGAAAAGCCCCCAAAAUCCCAUGAGACCUUAUUUUUGGGAUUUUAUAUGAUAACUAUGUAUGAUACUGCAUCAAUUAAUCACAAAAUAAUUUAUUUAUUAUUUUUAAAUAUAAAUAUAACUAUUUUGUGCCCAAGGGAGGUGGGGUCAGACCCUGGCCUCGGCAUUCUCAUACCGGUUCUGGCAGGCCCAACCAUUUUAACAUAUUUAUUUAUUUAUUUAUUCCGUGACUAAGCCGUUUUAAGUACUUGGUCAGCAAUCUCUAACCAAUGAUAAGAUCACAAGACAAGGCCUACUAUCUAUCUUCAUAGUCAACUGUGCCGCUAGUCACACUACUCCAAUCCAGUUAUAUUGAUGCGUGCUCAUCAUCAGUUCACCAUGUUUUAAAGCAACCGAGUUAUCUUUCUUUUUUGCGUGAAAGCUCCGUCUUUAUAUUAAAAUACUUCCAACAUUCCGGAAAAAAUAUCGUUGAUGUGGUUAAGAAGCAAUUUAACAAUACUUAGUGGGCAAUCUCCAUGACAACCAUCAAAAUAUUGCUAGCUAGUUUUCUAAUGCAAAGGAAUUAUUGCUUUCAAUAAGCUCGGUACUAGUUGCAUUGUUGUCUAAUAUGUGACGUUGGUAAGAAAUUGCCUCCAGCAAAGGAUAACAUCUUAAUUAACAUUAAGAGCUAGAGCCUUGCCUAUUUUUUCCUAGAAACUGGGCCAACGUUGUCGCGUACGGAUUAAUAAAGUAGUAAGUAUUCUGUAUUUUCUCAUUGAUAUAUAGGAAUGGACCAGUGUAUAUGUGGAGUGCACACAAUCCCUUGCUGGAACUAAGCCGUUUUAAGUACUUGGUCAGCAAUAUCAAACCAAUGAUAAGUACACAAGACUGGGCAUCCUUUAUAACACUAAGCUCCCUAGUUUUAAUGAGCGUACAUUCAAUUGAGGUUUCCAGUUAAAAUUGAGUCCCGAUUUUGACCGAGUCAACAAUUUCUCAAAGCCCCAUGAUUCUAUUCUUUUAUUGCUUUCUAAUUUUUUAGGCCUCACAACUAAUUGAUGUAUUAAAUUUAGAAUUGGGUCAUCCAAAUUUGAUCGAGUCAACAAUUUCUCAAGCUCACACUUUCAAUUCUUUUCAUUCACCAUAUUCCAAAAUUUUGAAGCUCUCAUUCAAUUGAGGUAUUCAAUUUUGAUUUGGUUUACUGUUUUGACUGGUCCAACGAUUUUUCAAAUCAAUCAACAACAACCGACCUAUAAAAACAUAUCAAUCCUCCGCACCCUCCCACCACCUAAAAGAAGCAUCGUCAUGUGAUACUAUAGCAUCAAUAUAGUACAUGCAAUCAUCGACACGGAAAUGUCCACACAUAAUUAUAGGUUGUUUAGCCAAUAACACGGAAUCACACCAUGAAAGGCGCACCAAAUCACCGCAUUAUAAGUAAAAAUAAACCACACUAUCAUCUCUUCCACCCGCCAAACUAAAUAUUCCAUCAGCUAUAAAAUAUAAGGGGUCCCCAACACGCACGAGGAUUAGCCCCCGCGUCGUCUUCCUGGCGGCUCGGGGGAGAAAAAACCCUAGCCACCGCGACUCCUCCCCCUCCCCUCCUAGUCUCGCCGCCGCCGGAGGGGUCGCCCUGGAAAAGGCCGGGCGGCCUUGAGGAAGCUGGCGGCGGGGCAACGAUUCCCUUUUGGUGGCGCGAGCAUGCGAGAGCUCCGCGCGCGGCAGAGGAGUUGCGGACGGCGGCAGCCACCGCCACGGGACGGGAAAAGCACGGCGAUCCAGUUGGCCUGGCGCUGCGGGCGCACCAUGCGUGGCGACGGUGUGGCCUAUGAUCUCCUACUUGGCGGCUUGGAUCUGGGGCUUCUGAUCUGGGUCGGGCAUCCAGGUUGGGGCUUUGCCUGGUGUCACGGUGACGGCUACUCUGCUGCGUGCUGGCCUGUUGGUGGUGGCCGGCCAGGAGGCGGCGGUGGAUCUGGCUUCAGAUCUAUCCGGUGGCAAGUUUGGAGUGGCAAGACUUUCAGAGAAAACCAAGCCUCAACUACGGUCAUGGUGGACGAUGGCGGCGUCUUUUGGCGUCGUUACCUUGUCGAAGGCAUCGUCAUAGCAAGUCGCGUCACUCCUUUCGGCCUGCUCUGGGGGAAACCCUAGAUCUGUUGUCAUGGAUCGGGCGAUGGCGACGUCAGGCACCGCGCUCCUUGCUGGGGGCAUCGUUUUGGAGCAGGUACCGACUUGGGUGGACAGGUGGUGGAGCGGCGUGGUAUCUAUCGCUCAUCAACGACUGGUCUCGGCGGCGUGGCGCAGCGGGGUCUCGCUGACAGAUGCGAGAUGAUGGACGCCCGCAGGGGGGCGGCGCUGUCUGGCGUCAUGGUGGUGUCGACAGCAGCUAGACCCGGCGAGGUAGAUGCAAUAGUACAUCACUGAAAAUGGAUUGGUGGCAGGUGGCUGCGACGGCCUCAUACCUGGUAGGCGUCCUGGUUGAGGAGUACGCCGGACUGGUGGGUGCCCCAUACCCGGCAGACGUCCUCGUUGGGACCUCAGGUCUUAGAUGUUUGGUUUGGUUGUGAGGUAUGUUUGUUAUUAGGCCCAGACUAUCAGCAUCCCUUCAUCAACUGGAUUGGAGUAAUGACAGAUGUUGCCUAGACGGUGACUUUAGUCUUACUAUUGUAUGACUUUGUAAGGUCUUAUGUGAAUAAUUAAUAAAGUGGAUGCAUGCAUCGUCCAGAUGCAGAGGCCGGGAGUCCUUCUCCUUUUCUAAAAAAUAUAAUAAAAUAUAAAGGGUAUUAGGUUUUUAGAAAGACAAAUUUCUUUAGCUUUGACCAAGUUUAAAGCAAAACAUCGACAUCCACAAUAUUAAACAAAAAAAAAGUAUGGAAAUUCAAUUUUUUUUGAUGAAUCUGAAAAUACUGAUUUGAUAUUAUGGAUUUUGAUAUAUUUCUUUACAAAUUUCAUCAAACUUAAAAGGUUUGACUUUUCAAAAACAAUAAUACAUCUUAUAUUUUGAAAAGUGUGAUUAUUUUUUUAACAAAACCAACAAACACGAAAGUAUAUUUUGGUAUAUUAAAUAUAUAUUUUUGCUUUGAAAAUAUAUAUUUGUUGUAGUCACCUUGUUUUGUAUGAGGAAUUCAUCAGCAAGGAGUGCCAAGAAAUAGUCAGUUGUACUAAAAGCUGAACUUUCAAUGCUUUUAAUAGAAAGAACAUUCGUACAUAUUAUUUAAGAAUGCCUAAAUUGAUCCUAUGCAUGUAGUAAGAACACCUGCGGUGUUAUAUUAUUAAGUAUGCAGAUGUAGAUUAUAGGAUAAUUGGACAACUAAGUAUUCGGGAUUACUCUGGAAAUACACAGUAUGAUCUUCAUAUCGUUAUACGAAGUGUGUAUAGCCCUUUUUACUAGUGAGUAAGGGUGCUCAGUCAGAUCAGAAUGCUUUAUGGUCGAACCCGGACUGCCAACAGGAGUUGAUGACUGAGAAAUCUUCGAUUAAACAAGGUAAUCAUGAGCACCCAUAAUCUUGUCGGUGUCAUGGAGGGAACUAGAGGAAGAGAUUCCGAUCAGUCGUGGCCUCAUCAACUUCAGCAAGGGAAUCACCGAGGAACUUGGACUAUGAUGCAUACUCAGCGACCGACAUGGUGCCCUGCAUGAGAAUGCAGUACUUCCUGUUAAGAUGAAUGGCGUGGGUGGCAUUGUUGUUGAGGAAGUACUGGUGGAGGCGAGUCCAUGCUGAUAAGACAAUGUCGUCGGAGGACAUUGCCAGGUCCAGAAGACUACCGCCGAUAGUUGUGUAGAUCCAACAGAAGAUCCCGGUGUCGGUACAUCGCAGCUUGGGAUCGUCGACGUAAAGUUUGAACGUCAUGUUAAUGUGGUCGAGUACAACGCCGUAACGCAGGUGGAGAGGAUGAACAGCAAGAAAUCAGACGUUUAUGAUAGUUGUUGGUGGGUGGGUCCAGUUUGAAAGGGAUGUAAGAGUGGAUGUUGGUAUUGUACACGGCAAUGGGGGCCUGAAGUUUGAAAAAUUAAUUGGGAGGGUACGAAGAGAGAGUUGAAGCAGUGGUGAUGAUGGGAACCAUGGCGCCGACAGAGAAACUAGGAGAGGUCUGCAAGGUUUGCGCCAAAAGGGAGGUGGCACUGGAAUUGGUCUGGGUGUUGCUCAAUGGCGAGCAGAUGGCUCUGAUUACAAAGGUGAAUUAUAUAAUGCUUGCAUCCAGGUUUACAAGUGUCGAUGUACAACACAUCAGAUAAUGAAUAGAGAGAGCCCUAACUAACUGCAACAUACGGAAAAAGGCACCCACAGGUGCACGAGAGAUCUUCGAUCCUAACCUCUAAGGACUAUGGUACAACACGAGCUUUGCUAUACCUGCGGGGGCUCGUGUGGGGAGGGGGUUACGUAAUGUUUUGCCAAUUUCUAAUUGUUCAUUGGUGGGGGCGUGGGGCCCAUCCUAAAAUUCAGGGGUGUGUUUGAUUAGUUCAGAAUGAAGUUACGUAGGAUGCAUUACGUAGUUCUAGCAUGUUUGGUAGUACGGGUACAACGGUACAUACAGAUGAUGCAUUGUUUAACAAUAUUAAAUUGAAAUCAUGUACUACAAGGGUUAGCAAAUGGCAAAGACUAACAAUUCUCAUGUCAAAGUGCAAACAUUCAAUCAUUGGUGCACAAUGAACAUAUGAUAUUGAAGUCAACAACAGUUAAAUUAAACAAUAUGGAUCGCACUCAAAAAAUAUUUAAGUGAUACAGAUCAGCAAAUUUGCUAGUUCUGGUUUUUUUUUUGUGAGGUGGAGAAAGAAUGCUAGCUAGCUAGCUAGCUAGUUCUGGGUAGUCCUCACGUUGGCUGCCUAUAAAUAGCAUCCUGCACCAUCAUAUGGGAAUGCACCAGUUAAGCAGCUAGCUAACUCAUCUCCAUCCAUCGCAUCUCUUCUUCCUCAAUCCUCCACUAGAACCACCCACCCAAUUCAUCAAUGGCUUCAUCUCUGAAGGUGGCCGCUGCCGUCGCCGUGGCCGUUUGCGUCGUGCUUGUGCUGAACAUGGGCCAGCCUGCGGCAGCCACAGAAUGCAAAGAUUGUCUCGCCGACUGUGUUGACGUUUGCGUCGACUACUCUGACACUGCGUGCAGUGGCAUCUGCACCGCCAAACCUCCUGCAUGCCAGUCAUGCAAGUACACGUCCUUCCUUACAUGCGGUGGCACAUGCUACGGCCCCUGUGCCCACUUCUGCUAAAGCCUAUAGUGGCUGUAAGCUGUCUGUGUGUGUUGGUACCUCGUUGUUGCUAAGCCAUGUAAAUAAGUGAACAAAUGCUAUUGCUCUGUGCAUAUGGCAAAUGUUCCUUCGUUUUAUUGUUCCCCUUUGUUUCAACCAUCAGUAAAUAUACAUGUAUGUGUGCAAGUCAUGUACUCCUAUAUAUGCUUUCUGCUUCUUUCUAUCAUGUUUCUGACCUGCUCAUGCUGGGGUGGAUAUCAGGUGAUACCACCUAUUACAUGCUCCCAUGCUAAAAAAAUUAAAAAGUCAUAGUUAGAUGUUUCAAAAAAAUUGAAAACAAUUAUGGAUGUUCACAAGACAUACGCCUAUAACCCCUAAAAAUUCAGAUCAAAAUUCGAAAUAUACAUUGAGAAACAAAAAGACAAAUCUAUAUGUCAUGUUUUGUCUUCUUUUACACUAUUCAUUCUAGAUUUUUCAUUUUUGUUUCUCAAUAGGUAUCUCAAAUUUGGGUCAGACUCUUUUAGGGGUCGUAGUCAUAUGUCUUGUGAACAUCUACAAAGUUUUUCAGAACAUCUAAAUGUGAUUGAUAGCUAGCAUAAAUAUCCAUCCAUGAUAGAUCCUUCUUCCUUCCACUCCGCCAUCAUGGAUUGGACUUGGCUUUGGCUUUGGGGCUGGUUCAUCUGAAGUGCUCCCAGACAUAGAGCUCUGACCUAUUUUCCUAAGAAAUUGGACCAAUGUUUUCAUACUGACGAAUUUAGGAAUAGUUCUGCUGCAUUUUGUUCAUUGAUAUAUACGGAUAGGGCAGUGUAUAAGUGGAGUACUUCGCUGAUGCCAGCAAGUUAGUAACCAUCACUUACACGCGUUAACAAAUUCUUCUGUAACAAGUAGUUUAAUAUCAUUCACAAAUUAAUGUCAAGUGGUAGUAGCUUCUUCUAAUAAUGUCAACUCCAUUCACCAAUCAUUCAGGAUCAUGACAAAUCAAAGAAGGUUCCACACCUUCAUAAAUUUGGCGCCACCUUUUACCGAUUAUAAAGAUCCAAAUUUCAGCGAUUGUGUUGUGGAUGCUCUUAAUCUUGUAUUGUUUCAUCCAUUGACACACCCAUUCCGUAAAUGAAACGAUUGAAACAACUUUUAAUAUUAGAGUUAGUGAUGACAAAUUCAUGAAAUUUAUUUUUUAGGGUGUUUUAAAAUAAAAAACAAUGUGUCCUUACCUGAGCAUUUUUAAGUGAUUUUGGGAAGUGAAAUCACACAAGAACACUGUGUGAGAGCCGAAAAUAAAAAAGAAAUGUAAAAGAGUUAGUACAUCGGGCCUGCGUGACCAUCUCCAUGGUACAGCUAGGCUACUGCUGGAGAACGUUUCCCACAGCGCUUACAAGCCCUAAUAUCUACUCCUCCAUCCAGAAUUACUUGUCGCAUAAAUAGAUGGAAAUGAAUGUAUCUAGAAUUAAAAUACAUCUACAGACAUGCAUUCUUCCGACAAAUAUUUUCGGACGGAGGGUGUAUCUUGGGCCAGUGACCAGCAACAUCAGAUAGCAUUAGUUAUCUUCUCUCCUUUCCAUAAAGGGAGGAAUGAUCGGGCCAAGGUCGCCUAAUUUUGCCAUGGCCUCUAGCCAACCACCCCAUCGGGCGUAGCCAAGCCAUGAACGCUUCUCUUCUCUCUUACCGGAGCCUGAUUUUUAGGCUAAGUAUCGUAACUAGUAUCAGACAUGCCGAUUAUGCAAUUUUAAUGAGGUGGCAUAGAAAUCUAUAAUACUAUGCAUUACGGAGGUAGUAUCAUACACUAGCAUAUGAUACUAAUAUAUGAUACUCCCCACUACAACCAGCCUAAGUAAUCAGGUGCUCCAAAGUGAAAAUGUGUGUCUAGUGUGCAUAAUAAAGUGCCUAGGUGGACAAUACAUGCAUGUCCAUCCUUGGGCAGCAUAGCAGCCAACCCUACCCUACCACAUGCUGGCAAUUGUUUAUUAUGUUGAUCUCAUGUCAGUGUGGCCAUGCGAGUGUUAAUUAAGUAUUACUAAUACUUGUCGUUCAAACGGAUGUAUUUAGAAACAAAGUGAGACCUUCAUCUCGUGAGAAAGACCGCCGAUGGCUACCGGCCAUCGCCCUCGCGCCAGGAAGAGUACGUUGCCGUGCAGUCCGCCGACGUGGAAGACAAGUUUAUCAAGUUUAUCAAUUCUACUUGCAUAUAGUACUCCCUCUGUUUUUAUUUAGUUCGCAUAUUAGCUUUGGUCAAAGUCAAACUUUACAAACUUUCAUCAAGUUUAUUAACAAAAAUAUUAUGAUAUACAAUAACAAAUCAACAAUAUUAGAUUUAUUAUUGGAUGUACUUUCACCUCGAAUAGAUUUAUUAUGAUAAAUGUCUAUAUUGUUUUCUAUAGACUUGGUCAAACUUUACGAAGUUUGAUUUUAGUCAACUCUAAUAUGCGGAGUAAAUAAAAAUGAAGGGAGUAUAUUGUCUAAUAAGUAAUAACCUUCGUAAGGAAUUGCGCGGAUCCAAGGACACCAUCUUAAUUAGCAUACUACUAAGAUUCGAAGAUAUAUGCUAUGCAUAUUAGAUUCGCCUCAAGUCAAACUUUAUAAAUUUUGAUCAACUUCGUCCAAAAAAUUGUGAACAUCCACAAUAUGAAAUCAACAUCACUAAAUGCCGGCCUAGAGAGACACGAGAGCUUCUACGUGGCAUGCCAUCAACCUUCAACCCGGGUAGUGCGAAGUCAACCGCUCGAGCUGAUUCCAUCCAUGCACGCAUCAGGCCGACCUCCAACCGGGAUAGAUGCCCUUAAGGCAUAUACAAUGGUACUAUCUUAGAAAUGUCAUGUAGGAUAAUUACUAGGAUAAAGGAAAGAAAAACAAAUAAAAAAAGUGUUCCAUUUCUCUUACUUAUGAGAUGAUCUGUUAGCCCCAUAUCUUUUACCAUUACUCCUUGCAUAUGAGAAUAUAUUUUUAUUGCGGAUAAAACUAAGAGAUACCCCAUUCUACCCGUGAUUUUAUUAUCAUCUCUAAACUACAUGGUAGGCUUCAAAGAUAAAAUUGUUUUUUCAACCAUUGUACAUGCCUUUAGUAGGUUUUUGGCUGGGGUACCAAGUAUAGUUUUUCAAGAAAAGUCUCCUUCCUCCUUCCGCCAGCGCUGCUGCCGAUCCGCCCCACCUCCAAUGGCCCUUGGGCCGUGGAGGUGCGGAGGACCUCGGCGGGAGGGACCCCGUUCUCUUUUUCGUUAGGUUCAAUGUCUUGAUUGGAACUGUGUGGCGGUGGCGAUGUCCCUCUGUACAAAUAAUGUCACCCACGUCAUAUCCCUGUCCCAAUGGUGCGGAUAGCAUCGUCGGAGGAUGUGUGGAGGUGUGUCUUCAUCAGAUCUCGUGGAAUUCGGUCGGUGCUAGUCUUCGGUGGAUCUAGUUGGAUCCAGUUUUUGGUUAUCUUCGUUCAUGUGGUUUCAGGUUUGAUCUUUCUGAUCUGCAAGUCUCUUCAUCGGUGAUGGUUGCUGCUCUAGUGCACGGUUCUUUUGGGGCCUUGGCACGAUGACUUCCUGGUUGUCUACUAUAACAAGGUUUGUCCGGCCCUGGUGAGGCAGGGGCGAUGAUGGCGGCAAGCCUUCGGCUCGUUCCAAUGCUUGUAGUCGUUGGUAGGUGGUUCAUAGGCCUGGUUGUAAUUUUAUUACAUUUUGUGUUCUCUGUAUUGCCAUGAUUGAUGAAUGGAUUGGAAAUUUCUCUCGAGACAAAAAUUAGGUUUUUGGCUAAUAGUGAUAAAUUAUGUGGCAUGCACAUGCGGCGGUACCAUAAUCAAGGUGCCUUCACGUGCUACGUGGAUGGACAUGCAUAGCCCUACCACGUGCUAUUGUUUAAGUUGAGCUCAUGUCAACAAACACACCGCAAAUUAAUCUAGUUGGUCAAACCAAAUCAAUAGAUCGAAGAAGAAAUACAGAGCUAUAACAAUCAUGCAUAAAAGAGUUCGGAGAAAACUCAAAUAAUAUUCAUGAAUAGAUCUGAUCAUAAACUCACAAUUUAUCGGAUCCCAACAAACACACCGCAAAAAAGAAUUACAUCGGAUAGAACUCCAAGAACAUCAAGGAGAACAUUGCAUUGAAGAGCAUCAAGAGAGAAGAAGAUAUCUAGCUACUAACUAUGGACCCGUAGGUCUGUGGUAAACUACUCACGCAUCAUCGGAAGGGCAGCAAGGUUGAUGUAGAUCCCCUCCAUGAUUGAUUCCCCCUGCGGCGGAGUGCCAGAAAAGGUCCCCGGAUGGGAUCUAUCGAGAACAGAGGCUUGCGGCAAUGAAAAAGGUAUUGUGUGGACUCCUUUGUUGGUUUCCCGAUUUUCAAGAAUUUAUAGAAGCAGAGUUAGGUAAAACAAAGCUACGUGGGUCCCACAAGCUACAGGGCGCGCCCUGGUGCCUUGUGGGCUACUGCUCCAUCUUCUCAUCCCCUCCUAAAGCUUCCAGGGUCUCUUGCCAGAAAAAAAAUCUCCAAAAAAAUUUUGUGGCAUUUAGACUUCGUUUGGUACCAAAAAAUAGCAAUUAACACUAGGCACUAAGUUAAUAGGUUAAUCCAAAAAAAUGAUAUAUAGUUGCGUGUAAGUAUAUAUAAAAUAUCCAAGAUUAAUAUUAUAAUACCAUGUAACAAUAAAAAAUUAUAGAUACGUUGAAUACAUAUCAACAGAAAAGGGUUGCGGGAAGGAUAAUGCCGGGAACAUAUUGUGGAAAAGUUUUGCGGGAAAUUGCGGGUGCCGGAAUAAAAUUACGGUCCAAAAUAUGGUUCCAUUCAACCAUUGGCUGAAAAUUUUGGUCUCAUGCAGCUGUCGUCUUAGCCUAAGCCGAUUUGAACUAAUCGGCUUCAGCCUUCUCUAUUAGUACUAAUUGGCUACGGUUAAGAUGCUUAGUUCCAAUCGGCUUAGUCUAAGAUGACUAGAGCUAGUCGGCUUAGGUUAAGCCAACUGGACACUAACCAGCUACGUCGUGGCAGAUUGGAUCUAGUCGGCUUAACCUAAGCCGAUGCUGGAUUAUUUUUAUAAUAUACAAACCGUGUAUUACUUUCCAAAUUGAUUACAAAUAUAUCAUUUUAAAAAAUUAGCCUCAUUCUACCCUCAUGUUUAGGAUUUCGUUCAUUCCAGAUUGUCUUGAUAUUUUUCUUCGGUUCACACCGUCGUAUUAAAUGACAAAAACGGUCCCAAUAAUUUGGUCAUAAACAUGGGGGCGGAAUGUGUUUCCAUCUUGAAGAUGUAUGUCCUUAAGGCGUAUACAAUAGUACUAUCUCAAAAGUGACACAUAGGAUAAUAACUAGGGUGAAGGAAAGANNNNNNNNNNNNNNNNNNNNNNNNNNNNNNNNNNNNNNNNNNNNNNNNNNNNNNNNNNNNNNNNNNNNNNNNNNNNNNNNNNNNNNNNNNNNNNNNNNNNNNNNNNNNNNNNNNNNNNNNNNNNNNNNNNNNNNNNNNNNNNNNNNNNNNNNNNNNNNNNNNNNNNNNNNNNNNNNNNNNNNNNNNNNNNNNNNNNNNNNNNNNNNNNNNNNNNNNNNNNNNNNNNNNNNNNNNNNNNNNNNNNNNNNNNNNNNNNNNNNNNNNNNNNNNNNNNNNNNNNNNNNNNNNNNNNNNNNNNNNNNGCUCGCCUACUAGCGGGGAUCCAUCCGACGGCGCUGCAAGAUCCGGUGUGGUGGGCCUCUUCGCCGGCGUCGGGGGGUGGAUCCGGGGCUGCUCAGGCCGGAUCCGGCGCGUGGUGGUGCGGUGCUGAUGGCGGCGGGAUCGAGCGCGCGAGGUCCUGCUGGUCCGAUGUCUCGUGGCGGCUCGUCAUGGCUCUGUGGUGGGCGCUGGCUGGAGGAGGAGAUGCCCGACGCAGCUGGCUGGUGAUGGCGUGUCGCUGUGAAGCGCGCAGGCCGGUGGCGGCUUGGUGCUCCUCGCCGCGGAGGCGCUCGAGCCAGGCCAGAUCUGCGCUGGCUGGAGGUGAGGGCUCAUGGCCGGCGCACGACAGGUGAGGUGGUGAUGCGGAGGGCCUGACGGGGUGUGGCAGAGGAGAUGUGGCUCGAUUUGGUGGGGGCGGCGCCAGCGGGAGGCAGUGCUGGGUUCUCACGGGCAGGUUGGUGGCGCGCUGUGAUGGCUCCGUCAAGAUGGAGCCUUGCGAGCAGCGAGCGGUCGGUCAUCCCUGUGCGGCGUGGCGAGCGGCGGUGCUUUCCUGGUGAUGCCGGCCUGGGAUUUCUCCGUGGAGAGGCGGGUCUGAUUGUCGCAAGGCCGUUCCUUGGAGUGGGUGACGGCCGUCGCGGGCAGUCCUGGACCUGGCCGGAGGUGUUGGUUGGCUGCGGACCCUCGUGCAGGCUGGGAGUGGAUGGUGUGGCCGUGGUUUCCCUGCCGGGUAGUCGGUCGUUGGUCCUCGGCUAUGCAGCUACUUCGGCAAGUGCUGCGGUGGCGGCGGUGUGAGGCUUCUUGGCAGUGCUACCAAUCCCAUGGAGGCGUGGCGAUGUGCGAAGCGCGGAUGAAAAUUUUGCACGGCUUCUGCCGGGCCGGCGGUGAUGGCACCUGUGGAUGUCAUUCCCCUCCUUGGAGGCAUCGUCGAGUUUGUUCGCCCCAUCCCUCGCGCUCUCGGUGUUGGUGGAUGUCUCCGGGUGAAAGCCUAGAUUCGAUGUUCGGAUCGACACGAUGGCGGUGUCCUCGACGCCGCUCCUCUGUUGGGAGCAUUGUGUUUGGAGACAUGACUGGUUCCUCGUUGCUCUCCUCCGGUGUUCGCCGCUAUCCUUUUCUGAUCUUCAGUGGCGCUAUGUACGUUGGUCGACGGUGAAUCCAAGGCGGUGUCUUCCCGGAUUGGAUCGAGUCCUGCCAUUCAUCUGCCACUUUCUCUUAGGCGCUCAGGGUGGAUGGUGCGUCGACAAGAGAAGUUCUGCGGAAGUGUGGUCUUCGGAGGUGUCCGGCGUCGGUCAGAGACGCGGUGCUGUGUAUCAGUUUAGGAUAGGCUUUUUGCUUUGUAGCUUGCCUAGCGGUGGUGUUUGUUUGUGGUCUUGUCGGUGUGGUGUUCGUGCUACACUCGUUGUUCGCAUCGCUUUCUUGUAACUAAAUCCUGCCUUCUAUAAAGCUAUGGUACGCCUAGGCGUACUCUCAAAAAAAAAGAAAGAGAAACAAAUAAAAAAAUGUUCCAUUUCUCUUAAUUAAAAGAUGGUCUCUCAGCACGAUUUUUGUUACCAUAUACUCCUUGUAUUUAAGAAUGUUUUUUUAUUAAAGACAAAACUAGAUGAUAAUCCAUUAUAUCCACGUGAUUUUAAGUUGGUUUUUGCCUAAUAGUGCAUGGCAUGCACAUGCGGACCAUCAUGAAGCCAUGAAGGUGCCCCCUCUGGAUGAACAUGCAUGUCCUUGGGCUGGGCAGCAGCGUGCUACUGAUACUUGUUUAAGCUGAGCGUCAUCUGAGUGUGGCCAUCAGGCAACAAGAGAGAAGACCACCGAGAUCUGCCGAUGCCCGCCGUCGCGCCCGCGCCGGAGGACCAUGUGGCCGCGGACGCCACCAAGCUCGUCGCCCUCCACUUGGAAGACGAUGAGCGGCAAGGGGGCUGCUGCUGCUGCUGCGGUGCUGCGUCUUCGUCCCUGGCGAGGCGAGCCACGUCCUGGUGCCGCCGGAGCCUCGUCUCGCGCCCCGUCGUCCGCUGCGGACCGACCGAGCCGGCCGCCAAGCGUGUGCUCGUGGCCGUGGCCGCCGGCACGGAGCCGCUCGUGGCGGCCGCCGCGGCCGACAUCCUCAACCGCGCCGGCGCAAGGGUCACCGUCGCCACCGUAUCCGAGGGCCUUGUCGUGGAGGCCGGCCAUGGGGUCAGGUUCGCCGCGGACGGCAGAGUCGCCGGCCUGGAAGCAGAGGAGUUCGACCUCAUCGUCCUACCGGUACGUCCGCCUUCUCCAUGCCCAGUCAAACCAGUGUGUCAUCCUCAUCAUCAUCCUCAGUUCAUCACCACCUUUGUACGUGUUGCUGGUGGUAGGGAGGAAUGACGGGAUCAGCCAACCUUAGGGACUGCAAGCAGCUGGAGAAGAUGGUGAGGAAGCACGCGCAGUCGGGGCGCCUGUGCGGCGCCAUCGGGGCGGCGCCGGCGCCGGCGCUUGCCCGAUGGGGCGUGCUCGGAGGCUUCACGGCGACCUGCCAUCCGGACCUGCUGGGGCGGAUGGGCGACGAAGACGGGGUGAUCGCCGUGGAUGACAGGGUGGUGAAGGACAGGAACGUGGUGACCAGCCAGGGCGUCGGGACGGCCAUCGAGUUCGCGCUCGAACUGGUGGAGCAGCUCUACGGCCAACUCACGGCGGAGGAGGUCGCCGGACCUUUGGUAGGUACUACGAUCUAGCUUGUGUACAACUACUAGUAGUUGUUAGCUUAAAAGAAAAAGAAAUUACUAGUAGUUCUUCAGUUCAAUCUUUUUACUCCUUUAGUUUCAUCCGUUUGAGCGACAAGUAAUAAGGAUAGGAGUGAGUACAUAUUAUUAUCAAUAUUAAUUUGUGCAAUUUUCUUACAUAUUCAAUUACUAGCAUAUGCGCCCCCAACAAGGAGUCAAGUAUGUCAUCCAAAAGUACAACCAGAUCCAAUGGAAAUGCACUGGCACGGGUUCUUGUGCCUGUUGCCGACGGCUCGGUGGAGAUGGAGGCUCUCAACCUGAUCGAUGUCCUGCGGAGGGCAAGCGCACGCGUCACGGUCGCUUCGGUCGAGGACACGCCGCGCAUCAUGACCCGCCAUUACAAGCUCAAUCUGAUCGCCGAUGUGAUGCUGGAACAGGCUGCUAAAAUGGAGUUCGACCUCAUCGUCAUGCCGGUAAGUUCGAAUUGAGUCGAACAUUCCUUUAUUUUCUUAGAAAAUGAAGGCAAACACAGGGCCUCUGGUCGUAAAUGGUGCUCUUGGGACUACUUGAGUGACCUUGUUGUUUGUUUGUUGCAUGUGUAUAUAUAUGUACCAUAGGGUGGUCUUCCUGGUGCUCUCAAGUUCACCAGCACGGAUAAACUUGUGGGCAUGCUGAAGAAACAGGCGGAAUCUGGUAGACCCUAUGGUGCAAUAUGCGCUUCCCCUGCUUACGUCCUCGAGCCCCACGGAUUACUCAAGGUAUUUAGCCUUUUUUAUGCAAGUUUGAUGCUUCUGGCUUAUGUUUUCCGUCUUUCAUUUCUUUUUACAAAAGAUAAAGCAAUAUGGUGAUAGGCAACUUCUUCACCAUUGUAGGGUAAGAAAGUGACAUCAUUUCCACCCAUGGCGCACCUGCUUACAGACCAGAGCGCAUGCGAAUACAGGGUCGUCGUCGACGGUAACCUUAUCACAAGCAGAGCACCAGGGACCGCCACAGAGUUUGCCCUGGCAAUUGUUGAGAAGCUAUUUGAUGAGGAGAAAGCGAUCGCGUUAGCCAAGGAGUUGGUUUUUAUGUGACAACGUGCAUCGUUGUGGCUCACACACUGUAGAGGGCGUGGUCAUGUUUUGUGAACCUUCCAUGAGCUUCAUACGAAGAAAUUCGACAAAUCUAUCUGUAAAUUAGAUUUCGAGAAGUCAUAAGACAAAGUGAGGUUGGCCUAGUACUACCAAGUGUUGAUAUCCAGAACCUCGAGCUGGGACUUAGCCGUUUGCCGCCAACUUGUUUUUAGAGGAUGUUCUGACUGUACCUCCAAGGGGGAGCUGUCCGGUACUACCGAGCAACAUAUGUUGUAUGAGGCGGUGCAGAGCAAGUUGUUGUCGAAGCAUUCUUCUCUCGGUAGCACCUAGGUAUUUCCAUUUAUCCUAGUGGUGUUUUUGGACAUGGUGCGACCACAAGGUGCCAUGCCCACUUCGGUGAAAGAGAGCUUUCCCCUUUGGCCGUUCAAACCUUCAAACUAGUCCGGUAAUACCAAGUGUGAAGUUUGGAACUAUCAAUCAUGUUAGUUCCUAAGCCUAAUGGUCAGAUUUCUAUAAGUAGGAACCCCUUACCCCCGCGGGUGGUGAAGUUUUUGAACGCUCAUAAGCCAAUGUUGUCAUGUUGUGUUCUACCUUCUCCUUUGCCUAACCGUUUUUGCUCAUUAGCUUCAUCAUCACAAAAAAAUAGAGAAAGCAGCGAGCAACAUUAUAGCUGAAGGGCAUUUAUUUUCUCAAUCUGCAAGGAGCAUUAAAGCAAAAUGAAUCACUUCUUGCUUUUUGCAAAUUCCAGGUGAUCCUUGAUGUAGCAAAAUAAAAGGAAAUGUUUCCCCCAAGAUAACCAGACUUCCCCACUUGGUUCUUCAUACUCGAGGUAACCUUGUUGGUUGCAGGUAGAUAUUCAAAUUAAAGCAACAUCCAGAGGAAGAGUGACCAUCAACGGUGGCUGAGAAGAGUGUUGCCAACGGUGGUGGACCGUCGACGAGGCCAAGGUGAGCUGGUAGGCGGAUGUCAGCCGGGAGAAUACGGGACGGUGGUCGAUGGAGAACCUCCAAUGACGGCACACUUUUUGAGCAAAAUGCUGUCAUUUUUUUUAAAAUUAGGGAACAAAAUGUUGUCAUCUGCUUUAUAAGCAGGCUAAGAAAAUGUUGCCGCUCUAUCUUUUUAACUGAAACCGCCCAUUAAGAGGGUAUCGGCGAGCCGUCGGCUCCGUGCUUAAGCUUCUUAUUCAGCUUAUAAGAUAGUCAGUGAGAAUUUUUACCUUUUACGGGAACAAAUAACUUAACAUAUUUUUUAGGGUAUAUAAGGGAAUUGCUUGUUUUUUUUAUUAGAAUCUGUUAGACAGCCUUUUUAGUAGAAUCCAAUUAGCAUCAUCAUUGCAAAGGAAAACGGACAUUGGUGGGCCGGGCCUUACAAACGGGCCGGGUCAGCAAAGAUGGGCCUCAAACCUUCCAGAGCCACCUGGUCUACUUCCUCCACGGUAGCAAUCGUCAUCGUCAUAUAGGUUUCUCUCAAGCUCUGAACCCCGCCGCCUCCGGAAGCUUCUAGAACCUUCUCCCCCUCUCCCCCCGCCUCCGCCUCCGGCUCCCAUGGCCGACGCCGCCGACGCCCUCUCAGGUACGCGCGCCUACCCCUCCAGCUCCUCUCCGCUCCUUCGUAAGCAAAGAGAUCUCCCCCCAAUCUCAAUCUGGUCCGUCCGCCGCUGCAGCUCGGAGCAAGGUGCAGUCUUUCCUGGAGGCCGCGUGCUCCGGCGACCUCGAGGCCCUCCGGAGUACGUCCCCCGCUCCCGCCCCGCUCACCCCGUCGCCGCCCGGCACGGCUUGCUCACCUGCUAAGCUUUUGUUGGUUUUGUUGUUGGCGCAGAGUUCGGGUCCGCGCUCGACGAGGAGGGGAAGGGCGCGGCCGCGGUGGCCGCCGGCGUGCGGGACGCCAACAAGCGCACCGCGCUGCACUUCGCCGCCCGGGAGGGCCAGACCGAGGUCUGCAAGUUCCUCGUCGAGCAGCUCCGCCUCCCCGUCGACCCCAAGGACGACGACGGUAAUGCUUCCCUGACUCACUAUCCCCAUGCUAUAUGAUGCGGCCAUGCUCACUUUCUCCUUGUAUUGCUCUGAUUCACAAUGUGUGUGUGCAAUUCAAUAGAUGCUUGGUAUGGUUGUGGUGAUGCAUAUUAUAUAUCUGGAUCAAUUUUCCAGGUGAGACUCCGCUCAUCCAUGCCGCCCGGCAGGGCCGCCAGGAGACGGUGGAGUACCUGCUCGGCCGCGGGGCCGAUCCUUCCGUCGCGUCCAACAUGGGAGCCACGGCGCUGCAUCAUGCUGCAGGCAUAGGUAAUGAUGAUGAUGCUGCCCCUCCCUAAUGGUGGUGCUCUGUGUGUGUGCUGUCGAUUACCGACUCCUGAUGCUGAUCGAUAAUUCUGUAUGUUGAUGAAGUGGAGACAAUAUCUGAACGAACGUGUGGCGUUUAUUUUAUUCUUCUUGUUACAGGACACAUAGAGAUUAUGAAGAUUUUGCUUGGUAAGGGAGUCGAUGUUGAAUCCGAAAGCGAGUCCGGCACUCCCCUUGUUUGGGCUGCUGGUCAUGGACAGCAAGACGCGGUCAAGCUUCUGCUUGAACACAAUGCUAAGGUACUUGCUCGUCUAUGCGUUCUCUCCGCCAGUUUGUUAAUCUGAGUUUUCAGUUAUUCAUUCAGUGCCAAGGUUCAGUGCAAUACUCCUGACUAUGCGGUGAUUUUAGUUAUUACUAGUAAUUAACUUGAGCAGAAACUAAAUUUAUAACUGUGAGCAGCAAAAACCUGCUGCAUGAAUUAAUUUGCUGAGGUGUUGUGUAUGAACUCAAUUUAGUUAGGUGGGCUUUCAGCAACUUUUGUACUCAAACUAGUUCUUACAAACCUUGCUUUUGCAGCCCGACACUGAAACUGCUGAUGGUAUCACUUCGCUCUUGUCUGCUGUUGCUGCUGGUUCCCUCCCAUGCUUGGAGGUUCUAAUCCAGGUACAUGAUUGGGCGAGUAAAGGAUUUGUUUGAUUUCGUUCAUUUUCGUCACAUAGAUGUCAUUGCUUAUUUUUGGUUACUGGAUGCUCUGUUUUCCCUGUUAGACAAUGUGGUUUGUGCCUUGGGAAUUUGGCAAACAUGCACAUGAAUUGGGAAUAAGUAUAACAGUAUUCCUUUAUUACUGCAUCGCGAAUGUGCAUACAAGCGUACAAAGUCGAAGGAAAAGAUUCAAAUGUUUAUUCUCGUUUUAUUUUUGCCAUUUUACUUCUGUUUCUGCAUUCAUAUAAUACGCAACAUUGUUUUAUACAUUUGUUUAAUAAUUAGCUUAAUAAUGUGCAACAUAGGCAGGUGCAAACCCAAAUGUCACUGCUGGUGGAGCAACCCCAUUGCAUGUUGCUGCAGACAGUGGAAAUCUCGAAAUGAUCAAAUGUUUGCUUCAAGCUGGAGGCGACCCAAAUACCUCUGACGAUGUAAGUCACCAUGUCUGAGUACUUCAUUUAACUUGCCAAGUGUGGUGAUGCUAUAAUUUAUUUUAUUCAUAUAGUACCCAUCGUGUGUAAUCAUGGUGACUCUGCAUUCAUUUUAGCUAGACGUUCCAAUUGCCUUUGACUGUCUUAUUUAUGCAAACCGAAAGUGUGGAAAAUAAUAAUAUUCCAUUUCUAAACUUAUUCUUCCUGGGUAGUAAUAAUUAUUUAAAGCAACAUUGCCUAAACCAGUGAAUCUAACUGUUGAUGAUUACCUUUUCCUUCUUUCUUUCCUGCAGGAUGGAUUUAAGCCAAUAGAGGUUGCUGCUUUAAGGGAUAACCUUGAAGUCGUUGAACAUCUUUUACCAUUGACUUCUCCAAUCCCAGGUGUCUCGAAUUGGACUGUUGAUGGAAUAGUAAAAUACGCAUCAUCUAAAAUGGAAGAGGAAAAGGUGCCACUUUUGAAUUUUUUAUAUCCUCGUAUGUUCAUGAAACCUCUUUACUUUGCAAAUUCUGUCAACUUUUACAUCUGCAUACAUUCUACAGGCGCAAGAAAAUGAGUCAGCCAGUUUACAGAGACGACAACCCGUUGAGGUGCGCCGUUAUCGUAUAUGUUUUUUUAUAAAAAUCAAGGAAUCUAGUAUCUGUUAUAAUAAUAGUCGACUUGAAAAUUCAACUGUUGAUUUUCACUGCACAAGUUUUACAUCACCUAAAAAAAUGCCAUGCAGGUGUCACCUGAGGCGAAAAAGAGAUCAUUGGAAGCCAAAUCGAGAGGUGAUGACGCAUUCAGAAGAAAAGACUUCCUAGUAGCAGUGGAUGCAUAUACACAGGUAAGAAUCGUUUUUCUUCUUCCUGGAAGCAGUUGUGUGGGACAAAAAGAACUCUAGAAGACUAGAAAUUUAGUUGUAAUUUCACAUGCCAUCUGGGUAUAGAUGCAAUCCUGAGCCAGCCAACCUUCAUUUUAUCAAGUGUCAGUAAGUUUACUGGAUUAUAGUGCAUUGAGAGAAUCAUCACAACAGAACGGAACUCUGCAUUUCAGGCCAUUGAAUUCGACCCGAAUGACCCUGCAUUGCUUUCGAACAGAAGCCUUUGUUGGCUGCGGGCAGGGCAAGGUGAGCGUGCCCUGGAGGACGCGAGAGCAUGCCGAGCACUGAAGCCAGACUGGGCGAAAGCUUGCUUCAGGGAAGGCGCAGCGCUGCGCCUUCUGCAGGUUUGUCACUUUCAGAGACGCGCAGCAACCGGACAUUUAUUCCUUGCUGCCCCUGUUUCUUUUUCUCUUUGUAUGACUACAUAUGCAUACCUGAUGACUCAAGACUACACUUGUUGUGCUGUGGCUGCACCGACAGAGGUUCGAGGAAGCUGCGAACGCGUUCUACGAGGGGGUGCAGCUCGAGCCGGAGAACAAAGAGCUCGUGAAGGCAUUCAGGUAGUAAAAAUAUGAGAGGAAAAAACUCGUACCAGUCGAAAAUGAGGGAGGAACUUCUAUGCUCUGCUUUUGUUUUACUGAUUCGUGUUUUGCCGGUCGCGACGACAGGGAGGCUGUUGAGGACGGGAGGAAGUUCCACGGGACGAACAAGCCAACAACAAACGGAACAAAGUCAGAAUGAGGAUGGCAGCGACGAACCGAACAAAGCCAUGCUAGUAUCAAAAGCUUGUAUGAGUAUCUCCGUGGGAUCGCAUCGGGGAUCCGUUUUACUCUGUCAAGGUGAUAGGGAGGAUGAGUGUAAGCGGAGAUGUUUGCGAAUUCGAUUAGAAACCUCGUUGGGUUGUGUGACUCGGUUAGCAUUCUAUGGUAUGAGUACUGUCUUAGUGUAGGACAUACAAAUGGCCUGUGAACUUGUGGUGGAUUAUCCUUCGACAUUGCCAGCAUACAUUUUCUUUAAUUGUUUCUUUUGCUGCUUCUUCCAACUUUCAUCUACUCAACACUAAAAACAUGUGGUAGAAUUUGUUACUCCAUCCGUUCUGAAAUUUUGGUGAUGUUCUCCGAUGACGUGCAAUAUUGAUAUGGCAGUAAAUAGGAAAGAAAUAUAUGACUAUUGUAGUCAUGAUGAACGAUUUUACAUCAUAUAGAAAUCUAAUGAUGUUAUUUUUGUCUGACCAGCUCUCAUUAUACAUUUUAUUCAGGACUAUCCAGCGACCGUUCGCUGGCCAGGAUGGCAUUUACGAACAUGCGGCUGUCGGUUUUAAUAUUUGGGGAUCACAUUUUUGACAGAAAGCAUGCCAUUUUGCUUAUUUUAGUGCAUUUUCAUUGAAAAACUUUAUUUAUUUUAGUGCAUUUUCAUCGGAAAGCUUUCACCGUCAGAUCUCGAUCCUGUGGCUAUGAGUGGGUUUGCUGGGGAUUUCCUCCUUGGGGAACGGCUGCUAUAUAUCAUUCCCGUUUAUUUAUUUGACCGAGUAAUUGUCAUUUUUAAGAGAAAAUGGUAAUUUGCAUAUUUUAAAAAUGUUGUACUCCCUUUAAUUCGAAUUUUGACGGCGUCUCCAUGCACUGUUGAGUACGAUUUUACUUACAGAAAUGUGCAACCGAGUUUUUUUUUUUUGCGGUGGGUGAAACUGAGCAUCUGACCCAAACUUGUACAUACUUUUUUGUGCAACUUUUCUCGAUGUGUAUCACUUUUUAAGAAACACCUAUUUUCCGUGUGGACGCAAUCGCAGGCACACCAUAAGUAUAAGAUAGUAGAUGCAUAGCUAUGUCAAAGAGAUUGCACAAACUUAGCUGCCACCCAUCCCAUCAUCCCGGUUGAUUUUGUCGGCGCCUUCAGUGGUCGGUUUCGACGCCAAGGGAAUCUUCGCGCUCGUGGUGAGUUAUGGUUUAGUUUAUGAGAUUUGGGGGUCCUCUUGUCAUUCAUCUGGGCCGAUGCAGGCGGCAACGCAAAUGGGAUUAGUACCUCCAACCCCAUCCUCUUGGCGGUGAUGGUAGCUUUGGUGGCGUCCUGGCAGGAGCACAUGGUUGGUUUGUUCAAAUNNNNNNNNNNNNNNNNNNNNNNNNNNNNNNNNNNNNNNNNNNNNNNNNNNNNNNNNNNNNNNNNNNNNNNNNNNNNNNNNNNNNNNNNNNNNNNNNNNNNNNNNNNNNNNNNNNNNNNNNNNNNNNNNNNNNNNNNNNNNNNNNNNNNNNNNNNNNNNNNNNNNNNNNNNNNNNNNNNNNNNNNNNNNNNNNNNNNNNNNNNNNNNNNNNNNNNNNNNNNNNNNNNNNNNNNNNNNNNNNNNNNNNNNNNNNNNNNNNNNNNNNNNNNNNNNNNNNNNNNNNNNNNNNNNNNNNNNNNNNNNNNNNNNNNNNNNNNNNNNNNNNNNNNNNNNNNNNNNNNNNNNNNNNNNNNNNNNNNNACCUUGGUCUCAUCAAUAAGAUCCCGUGUCAGUGCGUUUGGGGGCGAUGUGCGGUCAGGUCUCCUCAUCCGGCCUUCACCUUCUUCUCCAAGUUGACAGCGUGGUUCCCAUCUUCUAGCAGAUCUCCGUGACUCCACAGCCGCAAACUCCGCCGAAGUGGACAAGCAUGGAGCUAGGGGGAGGGCGAGCCAUCGGAUUUGGACCUGCUUGUAAUUUCCACUUCCUCGGGGUUGUUCUUGUAAUUUUAUUUUUUAUUUCUAUCAUGAGUAUAUUAUUUCUGGUCAUUAUACUAUACUAAAAAGAAAAAUUCUUUCCCACGCAAAAAAAAUAAAUAAAUUCUUUUUUUUAAGCUUAUAGACGAGGUUUUCUUGGUCGGUAGGAUUCAGCCCGGGUCUGUCUGCUGCUCCUCCUCCCUGUCCGUCCGUCCGCUCGCCCCGAAGCGUCUCGCCGCCGCCGGCCCCCUCCACCGGAGCACCUCCUCGCCGGCGAGCAGCCAUCCUCCUCCUCCUCCUCUUCCUCCCGGUAAGAAAGCUCCAGCUUUCCUUGGAUCGCGCCUCGUUCUCUCGCUCACGUACGACCUUCCGCCGCGAGGAACCGAGCCGGACCGAAUCCGGUCCGGCCGGCCAGCCCGGAUCUCCCCCGUCCGAGAUCGGCCUCGCCCCCCGCCGGCAGCACGCGUAGGAACUAGGCAGGGCCGCCACGGCGCUCCAUCGGGCGCCCAUGUGUUCCGCUUCCGCCACGGAAGUCUAGGGAUUUGGGGAUCGAUUAGGGGACCAAAUUGGGGGGUGGAUUACUGGAUCCUCAUGGAUGAUGCAGAUAAAUCGGUGACGCGUUAGUGCCUCGAGGUCUAAGCUGCAUGAAAGAGGCCGGGUAGAUUAUUGCCCAGAUUGGGCUGCAGGCGCUGUUCCUAAUUGCUCAAUCAUGCUACAUACAUACAUACAUACAUUGUGCGCUUCUUUGCCGGAUUGUCGAUACGCAACGGCCUCGUUUUCGGCUCUGCUCUGGCCAAUGUUUCGGCCUCCGUCUGGCUAUUUACAAGCUUGCACUUGUCAUCAAUUUAUUUAUGCACUUUACUCUUUUUAUUUUAUACACAUGCAAGCGAGAUGGCUUAAAUUUGCUAUGUUCAGAUGUGUUCUUGUCUGUUUCUAAUACAUAAGCAGAGUUCAGAUUGUCCAUCCGACUGUAUUAGAUAUGACUUGAUGUUUGCUUACCUGUAAUAAACUCUGUAGAGGUGCAAGGAAAAAUAGUCUCUUCACCUUUAUACAAUGAAUGUCAUCGAGCUGCCAUUAAAUUCCUGUGUGUGGGGUACCUUUAACGGUAUACAUUGCUGUGGAAACUCAUCCAGAUCUUUCUUCACCUCCAAUCCAUUUAUCCAUUUAGUUUGUCACCGAGGGUUCUGUUUUCUGCCUUUCCCUUCCAUGGUGUACUAUAACUAAUUACUAAGAGAAGUCAGUUUCUUUUCCGAUUUUAAAUCCAUGCCACCCCUGAAUCAGUAUGGGCUAGUAUUUGCUUCUGUAAUAGCAGCCAGUAGAACAGCUCUUUCUUUAAUGUUUUAGAACAUCCAGUUUCUAUUUCUUACUUUGUACAUGUUCGCUUAUGUCUUUAUGAUAUACAAGGUUGAAAAAUAAAAUGGUGAUCCUGCUAAUAGAUCCCUCACCUUUUAACUGAAAAGUACUCUGCAACUGUGGAUGCCCUCAUGGUGUCAAUGUAGAAUUCAGUUUAGAGCCCAGAUAUUCGUUCUGUUAUGUUAUUUAACAUGCUUUCAUGAGGCCUUCAAUUCCCGAACUGGUUGUGCGAUUAUGUUGUUAAGUGGAAUUACAGGCUAGUCCGUUUACGAAGAUAUGCUAGUCCGGGAAUUAAUCAGAUGCACCUCAACAUUUUGUGAUCCUGCUGGCUAGGUAGGUUGAACCCUUACCCAAAAUUACCAGAGGGGGUGGCCAAGAAAAUUUCUUUUGAAACUUGCCCGCAUAUUUCUUCACCUCCAAUCCACUCAUCCAUCCAGUUUGUUACUGAUGGAACUGUUUGCCGCCUUUCCCUUCCAUGGUGGAGUACUAAGUACUAAAAGCAGUGAGUCAGUAUGUUUUCCAAUUAAGAAUCCAUGGGCUAGUAUUUGCUUUCUGUUAGAGCAGCCAGGAGAACUGCUGUUUCUUGAAUGUUGCAAAACAUCAGGGUUUUUUUUUCUUGCCUUCUACAUAUUCUUUUAUAUGUUUAGGAUAUAAAAGAUUGACAAAUGAAAUGGUGACCAUGCUAAUAGAUCCUUGACCUUUUAAUUGGAAAGUAUUCUACAACUGUGGAUGCCCUGCCCUCAUGUUGUUAAUGUAGAAUUCAGUGUAGAGCCCAGAUAUUCAUUCUGUUAAUUAACCGGCAUCCAUGAGGCCUUCAGUUUUUGAACUGGAAAGCUUGUGUGUUCAAGACUUGUGCGAUUAUGUUGUCAAUGCACGCCAUUCAUUCAGUACAGGGCCCAGCAAUUCAUUAUGUUUAACACGCUUGAGACCUUUGUUUGCUUGAAUUAACCUCCUUAUAAAUCUUGCUGUUAAUCCCUGACUUUUGAUUGUGAUGCUGUUUCAGGAUUCUUGUUUGCCAUGGGUGACUACACAAUCCGGAUAAGCACCAGCUUGAUCGAGCAGCUCGCGCGAGAUGACGAUAAGCAGGUGAAGAGGAGGACCAGGAAACCCAAGCCGAGGAAGGUCGUGGAGCAACCAGAGGAGCCUCAGGACAAUGGCAGGGAACUUCCAACUGAACCCAAGAGCAGCCCCGCUCCUGUUCUGCCUUUUCCACCACCCAUGUACCUACCAGUGACCCCCGCUCCCCCACCACCGUCUCCGGCGAUCCAGGAGGUGGAAGCCAUACGCACGGUGGUGGCGGAGAGCGAGAAGGUGCUGGAGAAGCUGCAGAAGAAGGAGGCGACGAUGCGCGAGGAGCUCACCAAGAGGGCCAAGGAGCUGCAUGACAAGGAGUUCAAGCUGCCAUACCAGAACCCUGCACCGUGCACCGACGAGAGGGCCGGGUGCGCCGAGUGCUAUAGGAGCAACGUGCAGGACCCGCUCAAGUGCGCCGAGGCGGUCAAGAGGUUCGAGGCGUGCGUUCGCAUGGCGAGGCGGGGCGGUGCCGCCAUGGGAGCUUAGCAAUGGGAGAGGGGUUGCGAGUCGGAGCUGAGUGAGCGAGGUGUCGAGCACACGAUUUUGCUUCUGUCGGGAUGAUUGAUUGAAUAAUCUGCCUGGAUUUUUGUUUGGUGAGACCUGAAACACCAUCAGCUGUAGAUUAAUUCUGGUGAUGCCAUGAGUUUCCUUGAAUUUAGGGUGUGGCUCCAUGUUAAUUGCAUACUACAAAAUGAAACAUGAAUUGUGCUGCAAAAUUUGCAUGGUUCCUUGGAUUUUAGCCCGUUUGUUUGGGAUGAGUUUUGAGUAACCAUUGUAUGCUGAUUCUUCCGUGUCACAUAAGUACAUUGUGCUGCAAAAUGAAACAUGAAUCGAUGGUGAAAAUUAAUGUGAUUUAGCUUCUGCUGCGGCAUGUUUUUUGCGGGAUCAAUAAAAAUCUCCUGAUGCUGCUGCUGCUGCUGCUGCUUUGCUGGUUAUUGGUAAAAUCCAUGUCUGACUGGUUGACAAAGAAUUAUGGAACUUUGUAUAUGUUGUUAGGCAUAAAUGUUGGGGUAAAAAAAAUAUCAUCUUGGUGCACCGCCCAGUCUUUUGGUGGACAAAAGAUUGUAUGGUGCAAGAAGCUACAGUAUUCAGAUACAACAACCACCCCAAGGGCCAGCAGGCAGCAGCAAACCAGAUCAAGAUGAGAUGGUCUCAGCCUAGGAUGUUGAUUCAGAGAUGCUCGACUCGACGCCAAGCAGUAGUCGCCCCGACAGUUGUCGACCAAGAGCGACUGCGGCACAGUUCAGUUGUAGAAGCAAUCAGACAUAGCAGAGCAGAGCAAGAAAAUCGACAGAUAAGAGCCACAGUUGAAAAACUUUACUGAACAAGUUGAAGGCUAGUGUCUUCUCAGUUAACUAAGCAAAGCAAAAACAGAUAGAUACAUAGAUAGCUCACAGACACACAGGUAGAUGCCAAUCACGACUUGUACAUUUGUUCAGAGCAACCAAAAUCCAUGCCCUUGCUGCCCUGUUUACUCCUGCAUGGGCUGCCGAGUUUCUUGGCUUCUCGAACUAGCCUUGCCAUCUCCUUCCAUGUCUUCCUGUUUACUCCUGCAUGGCGGAUUGCUGGCGCUCCCUGGCUUCUCGAGCCGCCUGCCUCCUGCGUUCACGCACCAGCCUUGGUAUCUCCUUCCAUGUCUUCGGUUUAAGUGCCAUCACUGCACAUAUCGCAAAUGGCAUCAAAACAAACACAUACUACAAACUAAUGUGACAUAAAACUUUAUACCGUACGGAAGUAAAAUAAUGGAAAACAAACUUGGACAAACAUGCUGGCAUGGUAGAUUUAAUGGAAUGGAUGACUACAUCUGUUGGUUAAAUGUGGCAAAGAUAGAGGGACGUGCUGCAAGCAUACCUUCAUGCUGGGCAUCGAGUUCUUUGUAGUCAAGGCUGCCCAGUCGCUGCCGCAGGCAUCUUGGGAGCUUCUUUAUAGCAGGGCAGCCUGUAAUUUUAAGAAGCCAGAGAGACAUGUAUACUUGCGGCUCAUUCGGUAGGGAUGCCAGGGUACUGCAGGUUAGAAGAUCAAGGACUUCCAGCGAUGGGGGGUGCUCUCCCGACAGACACUCCAGUGAUGUCAGCCCACUGUUGCCAAUAAUGCGCAGGCUCUUGAGGGGUGUAGGCAGACGGAGAGUCCCACCCAACAUGCCAGCACAGUUCAGUAUUGAUAGAGAUUCGAGAUGGGGAGGAAGUAAAUGCUCUCUUGCAGCUGGUGCUGUUGCUGCUGCUAGUGGCUCUGGCAUGAUAGGACUUCUGCUUCUGGAGGUAGUGGCUUCUGGUUUCUGGAGCCCACCCAGCUGGCAUGAUAGGACUUGAAUACUACUACAGCUAGCAAUCCAUAUGGUCUUUAAGGACAAAGGCAGAUUUAGAACCGCUUGUAAGCUUCCACAUCCACUUAAACUUAGAUCUUCUAGGCAUGGACAAAAGUGAUUCAUGGGUGAGGAUGACAACUCUGAUACAGCUGUAGGCACGUCUGCCUCACUGCUAGAAGAUACUUGGACUAACUCUGCCAUGCCCUGCUGCUUGCCGAAUAUGGACUCAAGCUUAAUGCACCCACCAAUAGUCAUUUUCUUGAGAGAUGCCGGGACGUUGAACAUCUCUACUAAACUUGGGCAGUUUUCUAUGCAAAGAGACUCCAGACCUCUCAGGUGUUCACUCCUUUCGGAUGCAAAUGGCUCAAGAGGAGCUUGUGCAUAUCCAGUCAGAUUUUCGCAGUUUCUAAUCACUAAUGUCCUCAACGAUACCAAGCUUUGGAACACAUUCUCUGGCCAGUGGACGAGCACAUCACAUCUAUCAAUUUCCAAGUUUUCAAGGUGUACAAAAUAGCCCCACGGCUCUAGUGCACCUGGUCCAAAGAAUGAGUUGCAGCAUCCUAACCCCACAGCUGUAAGAGGGGAUUUCUGGUUCCAUUUCUCCUUGUUGUCCACAUGUAGAAUUGAAGUGCACUCAACCUCUGACGGUGUUUCUGUAUUUUUUAGCUUCAGUAUCAGAUUGGUCAAUGAGGACAAAUAUCUGUCCACAAAAUGGAAGAUCUCUUGCUUGCCAUCUUCAAUUUCUAACACACUGAUUUUUGGUACCUCAGGUAAAUCUAUCAACAUUGGGCAUUGCUGAACUGAUAGUUUCUCAAGCUGUGGAAAAAAUAUUUGUUCACCUUUGGCAGCACCAUCCCAUCUCUGAAAACUCCCCAAGCAUUUCAUUUUGAGCACCUUGAGGGCAGGAAAGGCUGAACGUACCAAUUUAUAACCACCUCCGCUACAUGGUUCUUCAAGCAAUGGUGCUUCAGGUAAAUUUAUCAGCUUCGGGCAGUCCUUAACGGAUAGUUUCUCAAGCCGAGGAAACAAUAUCUAUUCACCUUGAGUCUCUUUGACUGCAUCCCACAUCUGAAAGCUCUCCAAGUUUUUCAUUUUGAGCACCUUCAGGGCAGGAAACGCUGAGCGUACAAAUGUAUAACCGCCUUCACCACAAGGUCCUUGCAGCAAUGCUGCUUCGGGUAAUGCUACCAACUUUCCACAAUUGCUCAUAAACAACUUCUCAAGCACAGGAAAUAUUGCAUGUUCUUCUUGCCUCUCAUCUAUUUCCCACCAUCCCUCAAAACCCAACAGAUGGUCUAGCAUAAGCACCUUCAGUUUUGGAAAAGUGAAGAUUGUACUGCAUCUAAACAAACAUCGCAAUCUUUCACAAUGGAAAAGAUGGAUCUCAACCAUGUUUUGCAACAUACCCAUGCACUCUCCUCCAUAGGAAUAUAUCUUCAGAACCUGCAGCCCACCAUGAGGUUCGAACUUGUCGAGCACCUUGCUGUCGCCAACCUCAGUCCAUCUUAAUGUCAGUUCACGGAGAUCCUUCUUGUUUCCAAGAUUCGCCACUUUUGCCUCUGCUUCUUGAACAUUCUCUACCUGGCGUAGCUCUAGAUGACCACCAAGGUUUAAAUGCUGCAGCGCUAUAACAUCACUGCAAUCAGGGCCAGGAACUCCUUCUACAAAAACUGUGAGUGUCUGCAGCUUAGUGAGAUUUUCAAGUCCUGGAGGCAUGCUCUUCAACUUCGGACAUCCAUGAGUGUAGAGAUGGCAGAGGGAAGUCAUAUACUUCAUUUGCUUCGGAAGUCGAUCAAGAUAACGGCAGUUGGAAAAGUCCAACGUUUGAAGGUUAUAUAGAAUACUUAUAUCUUCAGGAAGUGAUUUGAUAGAACUGUUUGAGAGAUCAAGGUACCUCAGGUGAUGCAGAUACAUUGAUUUCAGAAGAAAUGAUUCUGUGCCUCUAAUACAGAGCUUCAAGGCGUGCAAAGAGUUAUAUUUUGAUAGAUGCUUCAAUGAACUUUGCAUAGGACUAUCACAUAUGAGUGUUUGAAUGGCAGGGGAUCUUUUCUCCAAAGAAGCAUUCAAAAUACCUUCUGUUCCUUUACAUGAUAAAAACAAAUGCCGAGCAGUAUCUCCAAGCCACUCAAUUUUACUUAGCUCCAUAGUCACAGCAACA